Molecule: long non-coding RNA, 67204 nt
Filed under: Triticum aestivum (bread wheat)
Lineage: Eukaryota; Viridiplantae; Streptophyta; Magnoliopsida; Poales; Poaceae
Description: long non-coding RNA (TAES_LNC013588)
Source: RNAcentral
CAGUCUCUAGUGAAUCGCAACAUCCGAGCACCACAGCCCUCACACUCCUCAGUAGACGUCGUAGUAGUUAUCUCCAAUUGUAAUAAAGCCUUUGAGGCAUUGUAUCUCCCCGUGGUGGAGGUAGGCAUAAGGUAGUCUUUUUACCUCUUUGUAAUCCCUUCGAGGUCUCCCGAAAGGGAAACUCGUAUGUAAAUUAUGUUGUUGAAAUGAAGUAGUUUCGUGUUUCAUUUGGUCUAUCUGUUAUGAAUUUAUGAGAUGAGUCUUACGCUAGGGAUCCUAUAGGAGAAACCUGAUACGUCUCCAACGUCUUUAUAAUUUUUGAUUGUUCCAUGCAAUUAUAUUAUCUGUUUUGGAUGUUUCAUAUGCAUCAAUAUGAUAUUUUAUAUUAUUUUUGGGACUAACUUAUUAACCUAGAGCUCAGUGCCAGUUUCUUUUUUUCUUCUUGUUUUUCAGUUUCGCAGAAAAAGAAUAUCAAACGGAUUCCAAACGGAAUGAAACUUCACGAUGAUUUUUCUUGGACCAGAAGACACCCAGGGGACAUGGAGUCCAAGCCAGAAGAGCCACGAGGCGGCCGCAAGGGUGAAGGUGAUACGUCUCCAACGUAUCUAUAAUUUUUGAUUGUUCCAUGCUAUUAUAUUAUCUGUUUUGGAUGUUUUAUAUGCACUAAUAUGCUAUUUUAUAUGAUUUUUGGGACUAACCUAUUAACCUAGAGCCCAGUGCUAGUUUCUGUUUUUUUCCUUGUUUUAGAGUUUCGCAGAAAAGGAAUACCAAACGGAGUCCAAACGGAAUAAAACUUUCGCGAUGAUUUUUCUUGGACCAGAAGACACCCAUGAGACUUGGAGUGCAAGUCAGAGGAGCCUCGAGGCGGCCACAAGGGUGGAGGGCGCGCCCAGGGGGUGGGAGGCGCCCCCAACCUUGUGGGCCCCUCGUAGCUCCUCUGACAUAAUUCUUCCUCCUAUAUAUACUCUUAUACCCCAAAAACAUCCAGGGGAGCCACGAAACCACUUUUCCACCAUCGCAAUCUUCUAUACCCGUGAGAUCCCAUCUUGGGGCCUUUUCCGGCAUCCUACCAGAGGGGGAAUCAAUCACGGAGGGCUUCUACAUUAGCACAUUGCCUCUCCUAUGAAGCGUGAGUAGUUUACUUCAGACCUACGGGUCCAUAGCUAGUAGCUAGAUGGCUUCUUCUCUCUCUUUGAUUCUCAAUAAAAAAGUUCUCCUCGAUGUUCUUGGAGAUCUAUUCGAUGUAAUACUCUUUUGCGGUGUGUUUGCCGAGAUCCGAUGAAUUGUGGAUUUAUGAUCAGCUUAUAUAUGAAUAUUAUUUGAAUCUCCUCUGAAUUCUUAUAUGCAUGAUUUGAUAUCUUUGCAAGUCUCUUCGGACGAUCGAUUUGGUUUGGCCAACUAGAUUGGUUUUUCUUGCAAUGGGAGAAGUGCUUAGCUUUGGGUUCAAUCUUGCGGUGCUCGAUCUUAGUGACAGAAGGGGAACCGACACGUAUUGUAUUGAUCAUGGAUAACAAGAUGGGGUUUUCAUCAUAUUGCUUGAGUUAAUCCCGCUACAUCAUGUCAUCUUGCUUAAUGCGUUACUCUGUUCUUAUGAACUUAAUACUGUAGAUGCAGGCAGGAGUCGGUCGAUGUGUGGAGUAAUAGUAGUAGAUGUAGGCAGGAGUCGAUCUACCUGAUACGAACGUGAUGCCUAUAUUCAUGAUCAUUGCCUUAGAUAUCGUCAUAACUUUGCGUUUUUCUAUCAAUUGCUCGGCAGUAAUUUGUUCACCCACCAUAAUAAUUUCUAUCUUGAGAGAAGCCUCGAAUGAAACCUAUGGCCCCGAGUCUAUUUUACAUCAUAUAAGUUUCCGAUCUACAAUUCUAGUUUCCUAUUUACUUUCUUUUGCAAUUUUACUUUCUGUUCCAUAAACCAAAAAUACCAAAAAUACUACUUUACCGUUUAUCCAUCUCUAUCAGAUCUCACUUUGCGAAUAACCAUGAAGGGAUUGACAACCCCUUUUUCGUGUCGGUUGCAAGUUGGUGUUUGUUUGUGCAGGUAUUCGGUGGCUUGUUGCGUAGUCUCCCACUAGUGCAGAACCGGGCUACAGCACCGGUUUGUAAGGGCCUUUAGUGCCGGUUCUGCAACCAGCACUAAAGGGUGGGGACUAAAGGUCCCCCCCUUAGUACCGGUUAUGCACGAACGGCCGCUAAAGUGCCACCACGUGGCACGAGCCGGCGCCGGGGACGGGGAGACCUUUAGUAGCGGUUGGCAACAUCAACCGGUACUAAAAGGUUAGGGGGGUUUUGGGUUCAGGGUUUCUUUUUCCUUUAAUUUUGUGUUUUCCAUUUAAUUCUUUUUCGUUUGCUGGUAUACGAUACUACAUAUUGUACACAUUAUGCAUAUAUAUAUAAAAAUAGAAUUUCUUGUAGAACCGAUUAUAUAUAUAUAUAUACAUACACACAUAUUCACACACACACACACACACACACACACACAUAUAUAUAUAUAUAUAUCAUUGAAUGUCUCGCACCACCAUAUUCACACAUACACAUGUAUGUAUAUAUAUACAAUUUGAUAUAUACAAUUUCUCCUACAUGGAGGCAUUACUGCGGUAGCGGGUAAUGGAAUUCUCCUCUAGGAUCUAUGACCUGGUCGAGCAAAAAUCCCGCUAUUUCCUCUGCAAUUGCUCGUACGCGAUCCAUUGGUAGGAGCUUCUGCCGCACCUCAUUGAACUAUUAAUUAAGAAGGAGAUCAAUAUGCAUGUAUUAGUUGUGUGACUAGAUAUCGAUAAUGAUGUAAAAAUUGUGUAUAGUGUUCUGGCAAACGUACCCAUGGCUGUCUAUCAGAUGUGCUCCUUUCGGACGUCAUCAUGCGAAUGUUCUCGCAAUCGUAGUAUGCACAUAAAUCAUUCCCCGGCUCCUGCUUCAUGGCCUGUACGAGAAUAGAGUUCAAUCAGAUAAUAAUUAAUCAAGCAUGAUAAUUAAUGGUAUUGAAACUAGAAUUAAAGAGAUUGCAUGGUAGCUAGCUACUACUACUUAAUUAAUUACCGUGGGUCGAUACCAAUACAGAUUUUCUCUGAACGGGCCUGGAACGUCUUUGAUGAACUUUUGCCAAGCCCUGCCGGCCCGCUGGCAAAGAAAAUGAAUAAAGGAGUUAUUCAUUAGUUGAUAUCAGGACAUAUAUAUAAUGAUUGAAAUUACCUGUUGACUAUCCCCUUCACGAUUGAGUACUCUUUAGGUUUUUUAAGCAGUGAUUCCAGUACUUCAACUUUUCCUUCUUUAACUUUAAUGUCUACCAAGAUCCAGUGGUACCUGCAUGCGCACGUUUGCAUGUAUAAAUUAAGCGGGCAUGUGCAUAACACUCAUCAACUAACCCUAAACCCUAUACACUUAUUAACAUCUAGCUAGUAACAAAAACAGAAUUUGUAGUACAAGACAGUGUGACUCACUGGAAGUUGUAAGGAAGUAGUAUAUCUGCAUUGGUAUUGAGGCGCUUCAAGAACUCUAGCAUGUUAUUCUCUACUUCUUGUUUAUAAUAUUCAUAUGAUCAUGUCUCUUCAUUAAUUGUAUUUGGGUCAAUGAACCCAAUGCCAUAGCGUUCAGAUUUUCUCAUUUCGGACAUGUUCAUCCUGCAUAAUACCACAGAAAAGAAUAUAGUGAGGAUAAUUACAGGUAAUGAUCAACGAGAGCACUACAGCUAGCUUGAGACUUAAAUUACAGAAAGAAAUCACUUACAGACAAUAGCAACUGACGAUAGAUUUGUCGAGUGCGUCAUAAUUGGAUAACUGAAACAGUUCUAUAUACUCAAUAGAUAGAGCUAGCUUAUGGAAGUAAUCCUCUUCCUUGACUUUCACCAUGAGGGACUCUAGAUUGUGGGUAUUGCAAAUUUCCAUGUACCAUUGAUGCAAUUCAUACAUUCUCGUUGGGAGGUUCUUGACCUCCUCGGGCUCGACCAAAGGUUCGCCGCGGACAUAUUUCCGUUUUAUUUCCUCCUCUCUAAGCGGAGACAUGGGCUCGAUCUCAAGGAGUUGUCCAACAGUCAUACCGAGCAUUUCAGCCUGCAUUAUAUGCUCCUCGGUUAUUACCAGAUUGCCCAGCUGGGGAACGGUUUGCCCACAUACAUAUAUGGCACCGGUACUCUUAUGUGUUGUUGGGACAACAAGCGGGGGGAUCGAUUGCGCCGCCUGUUCUCCCAGCUGGGGAACGGUUUUCCUGCAUUUUUUGCCAGCUGCUUGGCUCGAGCUCGAGCUCGACUCCUUCUGUACUCGUGCUCGAUGUGCCUUCCUGAUUUGGUGCUCAUAGUCUGAGUCAAUAGGCUUGGGAGCUGGUGGUCUAGCCAUACGAAUAAAGUGGUCAAUCUUUUCCUCAGGCACUUUCUCCCUUGGCGGCGGUGCCGGUUUCGGUCCAAAAUGGGCGUCCACUUGGGACUUCACUAUGGCUUCGUUUGGCUCCUCGGUCAUGUCAUAAGGCCUCUGAGGAAGAGGAACGAGGCUUGGACCAUAUUUAUAUCGCUUGCCUCUGCCUGUACCUCCUGUACUACCUCGACUCGUACCGCUACGCACCAUAGUUGCGGCGUGUCUCUUCCCCGAUUGCUGAGGCGGCGGAGACGGCUGACGUGGCUGAGUUGGAGCAGGAGGAGUGGCCUGACGCUGUGCCGGACUUGAAGCACGAGGAGUGGCCUCACGCGGUGUCAGACUUGAAGCAGGAGGAGUGGCCUCACGCUGUGUCGGACUUGAAGCAGGAGGAGUGGACUGCUGCUGUGCCGGACUUGGAGGAGGAGGAGUGGCCUCACAUCAAGGAGGAGUCGGAUGACGACGCGGUGUCGGUGGCCUUCGAAAGAUGAUGCAAUCCUUUCUCCAUAGGAUGAUACAAUGUAUGGCCUCUCCCAGUGUGUGCUCCUCGUCAGCUCCAGGAAUGUCAAGCUCUAGCCCCGAAUAUUGGUCCACCACCUCAUCAACCACGACACGAGCAUAGCCGGCUAGAAUCGGGUUGCAAUGGAAGGUUGCUUCGGGGGGAUUUGUAUAAGCAAUGGCGUCCGCCACCUUCAUGGAUAUGUUCUUCAUUUUGAAGUGUAGCUCACAGUUAGUGCUCUCCAUGAUGUCAUCCAUAGGGUAUCUAUCCAGCAGUGUGUCGCCCGGGGCGGAACCAACGCUGCUUCUCGGCAUGGAUGGGAUGGUGCUAUCCAAUGCUGGAUCAUCCGAUAGCUGCUGCCGCUGCUGAGACCCCCUUUCCUGGCUAAGUGAGUCGAUCAGCUGCUGCUGCCGCUGGAAUUUGAGUGCCAAGUCCGCGUGCGCUGAUUCUAGGCCUUGAAGGUGUUCUGCUUCCUGCUUCCUCUGCUCCUCCUCCAACUUCCUCUUCUUCUCCUCCUCCAUCUUCCUUCUUGCACAACUCCUAUAGUCGUCCUUCCAGUCCGAAAAGCCCUCAUACCAGGGAAUAACGCCCUUGCCUCGUGUUCUUCCCGGGUGUUCAGGAUUUCCCAGGGCGCGCGUUAGCUCGUCCUUCUCUCUGUUGGGCGUGAACACCCCCGUUCGAGCAUCUUCUAUUGCUUGAAGUAACUUCUCUUCGACUCCUUUUAGACUUGCCUUCUUCGAAACCAGGCCUGCCUUCGGUUCCAACGCCCCCCAUGCGCAUAGAACCAAGUUCUGCACCUGGGGGGCCGGCUCCUAGUAACUGGAGUGACCCCUGCAUCCACCAUCUCUUUCUCAGACUUAUCCCACUUAAGCAUUGCCACCGCGUAGCCACCUGGCCCCAGCCUAUGGAACUGCGUCUUUUUUGCGGCAUUGGCCUUGUUUUUUCUUGACCGUUCCUUAGAUAAUUCUAAUUCCUUGAAUUUCACGAAAGCGGGCCGGUGUUCUCUUUGCUUCUCCGGUGUUCCCUUGAAUUCUGGAGUCUUCCUUUCUCCUUCAACAUAGUUGGCUGCUACCUCUUGAGCAUGCGUUGGUUUUUCCCUUGAAGACCAAAGGGUGAUGCAGUAAAGUAGCAUAAGUAUUUCCCUUAGUUUUUGAGAACCAAGGUAUCAAUCCAGUAGGAGACCACGCUCGAGUCCCACGCACCUACACAAACAAAUAAGAACCUCGCAACCAAUGUGAUGAAGGGGUUGUCAAUCCCUUCACGGUCACUUACGAGAGUGAGAUCUGAUAGAGAUGAUAAGAUAAUAUUUUUGGUAUUUUUAUUAUAUAGAUUGAAAAGUAAAGAACGCAAAAUAAACGGCGCCAGAAAUAGCUUGUUGACGGGAGAUUAAUAUGAUGAAAAAUAGACCCGGGGGCCACAGGUUUCACUAGUGGCUUCUCUCAAGAUAGCAUAAGUAUUACGGUGGGUGUACAAAUUAGUGUCAAGCAAUUGAUAGAAAAGUGCAUAAUUAUGAGAACAUCUAGGCAUGAUCAUGUAUAUAGGCAUCACGUCCGUGACAAGUAGACCGACUCCUGCCUGCAUCUACUACUAUUACUCUACACAUCGACUGCUAUCCAGCAUGCAUCUAGAGUAUUAAGUUCAUAAGAACAGAGUAACGCAUUAGGCAUGAUGACAUGAUGUAGAGGGAUAAACUCAAGCAAUAUGAUAUAAACCCCAUCUUUUUAUCCUCGAUGGCAACAAUACAAUACGUGUCGUUUCCCCUACUGUCACUGGGAUCGAGCACCGCAUGAUUGAAUCCAAAGCUAAGCACUUUUCCCGUUGCAAGAAAGUCCAAUCUAGUAGGCCAAACCAAACUGAUAAUUCGAAGAGACUUGCAAAGAUAACCAAUCAUACAUAAAAGAAUUCAGAGAAGAUUCAAAUAUUGUUCAUAGAUAAUCUUGAUCAUAAACCCACAAUUCAUCGGAUCUCGACAAACACACCGCAAAAAGAGUUACAUCGAAUAUAACUCCAAGAAGAUCAAGGAGAACUUUGUAUUGAGAUCCAAAGAGAGAGAAGAAGCCAUCUAGCUAAUAACUAUGGACCCGAAGGUCUGUGGUAAACUACUCACACAUCAUCGGAGAGGCUAUGGUGUUGAUGUAGAAGCCCUCCAUGAUCGAUUCCCCCUCCGGCGGAGCGUCGGAAAAGGCCCCAAGAUGGGAUCUCACGGGUACAGAAGGUUGCGCGGUGGAAAUAGGUUUUCGUGAUGCUCCUGGAUGGUUUCGGGGUACGUAGGUAUAUAUAGGAGGAAGAAGUAGGUCGGUGGAGCCACGAGGGGCCCACGAGGGUGGAGGGCGUGCCCAGGGGGGUAGGCGCGCCCCCUGCCUCGUGGCCUCCUCGUUGAUUGCUUGACGUCCACUCCAAGUCCUCUAGAUCACGUUUGUUCCAAAAAUCACGCUCCCGAAGGUUUCAUUCCGUUUGGACUCCGUUUGAUAUUCCUUUUCUACGAAACACUGAAAUAGGCAAAAAACAACAACAAUUUGCACUGGGCCUUGGGUUAAUAGGUUAGUCCCAAAAAUAAUAUAAAAGUGUAUAAUAAAGCCCAUUAAACAUCCAAAACAGAAUAUAUAAUAGCAUGGAGCAAUAAAAAAUUAUAGAUACGUUGGAGACGUAUCAAGCAUCCCCAAGCUUAAUUCCUGCUCGUCCUCGAGUAGGUAAAUGAUAAAAACAGAAUUUUUGAUGUGGAAUGCUACCUAGCAUGUUCUUCAAUGUAAUUUUCUUUAUUGUGGCAUGAAUGUUCAGAUCCGAAAGAUUCAAGAUAAAAGUUUAGUAUUGACAUAAAAAUAAUAAUACUUCAAGCACACUAACCAAGCAAUUAUGUCUUCUCAAAAUAACAUAGCUAAAGAAAGUUCAUCCCUACAAAAUCAUAUAGUUUGGCCAUGCUUCAUUUUUCUCACACAAGAAUGCUCUCAUCUUGCACAACCCCGAUGACAAGCCAAGCAAUUGUUUCAUACUUUAGUAAUCUCAAACCUUUUUCAACUUUCACGCAAUACAUGAGCGUGAGCCAUGGAUAUAGCACUAUGGGUGGAAUAGAAUAUGAUGAUGGGGGUUGUGUGGAGAAGACAAAAAAGGAUAAAGUCUCACAUUGACGCGGCUAAUCAACGGGCUAGGGAGAUGCCCAUCGAUUGAUGUCAAUGCAAGGAGUAGGGAUUGCCAUGCAACGGAUGCACUAGAGCUAUAAAUGUAUGAAAGCUCAACAAAAGAAACUAAGUGGGUGUGCAUCCAACUUGCUUGGUCACGAAGACCUAGGGCAUUUGAGGAAGCCCAUUGUUGGAAUAUACAAGCCAAGUUCUAUAAUGAAAAAUUCCCACUAGUAUAUGAAAGUGACAAAACAAGAGACUCUCUAUCAUAAAGAUCAUGGUUCUACUUUGAAGCACAAUUGUGGAAAAAGGAUAGUAGCAUUGUCCCUUUCUAUAUAUUUUUGGGCCUUCUCUUUUUUUAUUUGGCCUUUCUCUUUUUUUUGGGACAAUGCUCUAUAAAUGAUGAUCAUCACACCUCUAUUUAUUUACAACUCAAUGAUUACAACUCGAUACUAGAACAAAAUAUGACUCUAUAUGAAUGCCACCGGCAGUGUACCGGGAUGGGCAAUGAAUCAAGAGUGACAUGUGUGAAAUGAUAUGCAUGGUGGCUUUGCCACAAUACGAUGUCAUAAUAAACGGAACGGUGGAAAGUUGCAUGGCAAUAUAUCUCGGAAUGGCUAUGGAAAUGCCAUAAUAGGUAGGUAUGGUGGCUGUUUUGAGGAAGAUAUAAGGAGGUUUAUGUGUGAUAGAGCGUAUCAUAUCACGGGGUUUGGAUGCACCGGCGAAGUUUGCACCAACUCUCAAGGUGAGAAAGGGCAAUACACGGUACCGAAGAGGCUAGCAAUGGUGGAAGGUUGAGAGUGCGUAUAAUCCAUGGACUCAACAUUAGUCAUAAAGAUCUCACAUACUUAUUGCGAAAAUCUACAAGUCAUCAAAACCCAAGCACUACGCGCAUGCUCCUAGGGGGAUAGAUUGGUAGGAAAAGACCAUCGCUCGUCCCCGACCGCCACUCAUAAGGAUGACAAUCAAAGAACACCUCAUGUUUCAAAUUUGUUACACAAUGUUUACCAUACGUGCAUGCUACGGGACUUGCAAACUUCAACACAAGUAUUUCUCAAAUUCACAACUAAUCAACUAGCACAACUUUAAUAUCACUACCUCCAUAUCUCAAAACAAUCAUCAAGCAUUAAACUUCUCUUAGUAUUCAACGCACUUAUAUGAAAGUUUUUACUAAUCUUGGAUGCCUAUCAUAUUAGGACUAAUUUUAUAACCAAAGCAAAUUACCAUGUUGUUAUAAAGGACUCUCAAAAUAAUAUAAGUGAAGCAUGAGAGAUCAAUAUUUCUAUAAAAUAAAACCACCGCCGUGCUCUAAAAGAUAUAAGUGAAGCACUAGAGCAAAACUAUAUAGCUCAAAAGAUAUAAGUGAAGCACAAAGUGUAUUCUAAUAAAUUCCGAUUAAUGUGUGUCUCUCCCAAAAGGUGUGUACAGCAAGGAUGAUUGUGGUAAACUAAAAAUCAAAGACUCAAAUCAUACAAGACGCUCCAAGCAAAACACAUAUCAUGUCGUGAAUAAAAAUAUAGCUCCAAGUAAAGUUACCGAUGGACGAAGACGAAAGAGGGGAUGCCUUCCGGGGCAUCCCCAAGCUUUGGCUUUUUGGUGUCCUUGGAUUUACCUUGGGGUGCCUUGGGCAUCCCCAAGCUUAGGCUCUUGCCACUCCUUGUUCCAUAAUCCAUCAAAUCUUUACCCAAAACUUGAAAACUUCACAACACAAAACUUAACAGAAAAUCUCAUGAGCUCCGUUAGCGAAAGAAAACAAAACACCACUUCAAGGUACUGUAAUGAACUCAUUCUUUAUUUGUAUUGGUGUUAAACCUACUGUAUUCCAACUUCUCUAUGGUUCAUAAACUCCAUUACUAGCCAUAGAUUCAUCAAAAUAAGCAAACAACACACGAAAAACAGAAUCUGUCAAAAACAGAACAGUCUGUAGUAAUCUGUAUCUCAGAAAAAUCUACUAAAAUAGGACGUCCUAGAUAAUUUGUUUAUUGAUCUACUACAAUUGGAAUCAGUAUUUUAUCACGUUCUGGUGAUUUUUAACAAUUGUUUUCGUGAACAGAAAGUUUCUGGAAUUUUCAGCGAGAUCAAAUAACUAUCAUCCAAGAAGAUCCUAUAGGUUCAACUUGGCACAAACACUAAUUAAAACACAAAAACAAAUCUAACCAGAGGCUAGAUUAAAGAUUUAUUCCUACAGAACCAAAAAGCAAGAAACAAAAAUAAAAUUGGGUUGCCUCCCAACAAGCGCUAUCGUUUAACGCCCCUAGCUAGGCAUAAAGGCAAGAAUAGAUCUAGGUAUUGCCAUCUUUGGUAGGCAAUUCUUCAAUAAAACACUUAUAACCCUUAGGAGUUUCCUUCUUUUUAUUAGUUAUCAAACUCCUAGGCAAGGAAUCGACAAAAACAUUUGUAGCAAAAGGUUCCUUAAUGAUAGCGAGAAAGUUGGGGUGAACACUUAUGGAUUUGAGAUCCGCAUUUUCCUUACUAGAAGUUUCACCCUUAUUUUUAGGAACAUACAUAAAUUUGGAAAUUUUAGCAUUAGAAGGUUUUGGAGUAUUUUUCACUGAAGAAAAGGCAGACCCUAGGUUGGUGAUAAUAUCCUCAAUUUUAUCGAUUCUAGUGGACUCUUGAUCUAUCUUUUCGUCAACCAUGUGUUCCUUUUCUUUAAAAAAUUUAAGAGCAACUUCUACCUUAGAUCCAUAUUGGGUAAUUUGGUUGUGGAUCUUUCUAUCCAAAUUUUCAAUCAACUCUAUGGUGGCAACUUUAUUUUCAAUAAUUUCAAGUCUUUGCAUCACAUGUUCCAAAGUUAAAAUAGUUCCAUUAACCAAAAGAGGUGGUGGGCCAAACAAAUAUAUCAUAGCAUUAUAAGAAUCAAAAGUAUGGCUACCCAAGAAAUUCCCUCCGGUAAUGGUAUCAAGAAUAUAUCUAUUCCAAGGAGUGAUGCCUACAUAGAAAUUGCGAAGAAGAACAGAAGUAGAUUGCUUCCUAGUAGAUCUAUUUUGCGCAUUGCAAAUUCUGUACCAAGCAUCUUUUAGAUUUUCUCCCUCCCUUUGUUUAAAAUUAAGAACUUCAUUCUUAGGAGAUAAAGGAGUGGAUAAAGGACUAGCCAUAAAGACAAACGGGACACAAGAGGCAAGUGAAAGAAAGAGCGAACGGAAAAAGAGGGCGAAUAAAAUAGCAAGGGUGAAGUGGGGGAGAGGAAAACGAGAGGCAAAUGGCAAAUAAUGUAAUGCGAGGGAUAAGAGUUUGUGAUGGGUACUUGGUAUGUCUUGACUUGUGCGUAGACUCUCCGGCAACGGCGCCAGAAAUCCUUCUUGCUACCUCUUGAGCAUGCGUUGGUUUUUCCCUUGAAGAGGAAAGGGUGAUGCAGCAAAGUAGCGUAAGUAUUUCCCUCAGUUUUUGAGAACCAAGGUAUCAAUCCAGUAGGAGGCCACACGCAAGUCCCUCAUACCUACACAAACAAAUAAGAACCUUGCAACCAAUGCGAUAAAGGGGUUGCCAAUCCCUUCACGACCACUUGCAAAAGUGAGAUCUGAUAGAGAUGAUAAGAUAAUAUUUUUGGUAUUUUUCUUAUAUAGAUUGAAAAGUAAAGAACGCAAAAUAAACGGUGCCAGAAAUAGCUUGUUGACGGGAGAUUAAUAUGAUCGAAAAUAGACCCGGGGGCCAUAGGUUUCACUAGUGGCUUCUCUCAAGAUUGCAUAAGUAUUACGGUGGGUGAACAAAUUACUGUCGAGCAAUUUUGAUAGAAAAGUGCAUAAUUAUGAGAAUAUCUAGGCAUGAUCAUGUAUAUAGGCAUCACGUCCGUGACAAGUAGACCAACUCCUGCCUGCAUCUACUACUAUUACUCCACACAUCGACCGCUAUCUAGCAUGCAUCAAGAGUAUUAAGUUCAUAAGAACGGAGUAACGCAUUAGGCAAGAUGACAUGAUGUAGAGGGAUAAACUCAAGCAAUAUGAUAUAAACCCCAUCCUUUUAUCCUCGAUGGCAACAAUACAAUACGUGUCGUUUCCCCUACUGUCACUGGGAUCGAGCACCGCAUGAUUGAACCCAAAGCUAAGCACUUCUCCCAUUGCAAGAAAGAUCAAUCUAGUAGGCCAAUCAAAACUGAUAAUUCGAAGAGACUUGCAAAGAUAACCAAUCAUACAUAAAAGAAUUCAGAGAAGAUUCAAAUAUUGUUCAUAGAUAAUCUUGAUCAUAAACCCACAAUUCAUCGGAUCUCGACAAACACACCGCAAAAAGAGUUACAUCGAAUAGAACUCCAAGAAGAUCAAGGAGAACUUUGUAUUGAGAUCCAAAGAGAGAGAAGAAGCCAUCUAGCUAAUAACUAUGGACCCGAAGGUCUAUGGUAAACUACUCACACAUCAUCGGAGAGGCUAUGGUGUUGAUGUAGAAGCCCUCCGUGAUCGAUCCCCCCUCCGGCGGAGCACCGGAAAAGGCCCCAAGAUGGGAUCUCAUGGGUACAGAAGGUUGCGGCGGUGGAAAUAGGUUUUCGUGGUGCUCCUGGAUGGUUUUGGGGUACGUAGGUAUAUAUAGGAGGAAGAAGUAGGUCGGUGGAGCCACGAGGGGCCCACGAGGGUGGAGGGCGCGCCCCCUGCCUCGUGGCCUCCUCGUUGAUUGCUUGACGUCCACUCCAAGUCCUCUGGAUCACAUUUGUUCCAAAAAUCACUCUCCCGAAGGUUUCAUUCCGUUUGGACUCCGUUUGAUAUUCCUGUUCUAUGAAACACUAAAAUAGGCAAAAAAAACAGCAAUUUGCACUGGGCCUUGGGUUAAUAGGUUAGUCCCAAAAAUAAUAUAAAAGUGUAUAAUAAAGCCCAUUAAACAUCUAAAACAGAAUAUAUAAUAGCAUGGAGCAAUAAAAAAUUAUAGAUACAUUGGAGACGUAUCAUUGGCCCAUACAGUUUUCUUGUGGGUGUUGAAUGCAAUUGCCAUCUUCUUAAGAGUUGCGUCCUUGACUUUCUGCACAUUUGCAUCACUGAAAUGAUCUGGUAGGGUGAAAUGUUCCAUGAGAGAUUCCCAAAGCAUUUGUUUUGCUCUGUCGUCGACCCAAGUAACAUCUGGACGUUUCUUUGCUGGCUCUUUCCAUUAUUGAAUGGAGAUCGGGAGUUGGUCCUUCACAAGAACUCCACACUGAUGAACGAACUUGUUCGCAAUGUUCUUAGGCGCUAGUGGUUCGUCAUUAGCUUUGAUGUCAUCGAUGUUGUACUUUAUGCCCUCCUUCAACUUUUUGCCCGGGCCUCGCACUGUCCUGCUGCCUAGAGAAGUAGAUUUGCUCGAUCCGGAGGGCUAAGAAAGAUCGAUUCGUUAAUAUAUCUUCAAAUCAAUUAAAACAUGUGAUGAUCACCAGAUGCCUGCUUAUAUAAAUUAAUAUACCUUGUCGGUAUCUGUUAUUUCAAGAUCAACAUUGUCGGCAUCAUCAUAAUCAUAAUCAUAGUUCAUGACUUCAUCAAUUCGGUCGUCGCGAUCGAAUAUCAUAUCAUCACCCUCCCCGGUAUUGUUCAGAUAUUCGGAGCCGUCAUAGUCUUCAUUCUGAUCAUCUGGCCCGCGAGGGCUGCGUAUGAUCUCGAACAGGGCCUCUUCUCCCUCUCUGCCAGUAUUGUCCGCCAUAACUUUUAUUUAACUAAUCCUGAAGAAAUAUAAAACAAUUUGGUAUUCAAAUUACAAUGCAUGGAUGCAAUCAAUAAGGAAAAACUGAAUCAUAGUACAUAAUAUAUAAUCUUGAAUACAUCGUCUCGAAUAAUAUAUAAUCUCGAAUACAUCGUCUCUAAUAAUAUAUAUAAUCUCGAAUACAUCGUCUCGAAUAUUAUAUAUCGAAUACAUCACUAGCUAGCUAGCUAAUAAAGAUCGAAUACUACAGAAGAAUCUAGGCCACUCGCGGUUCCUAAGGCGCGGGCGGUGGACACCCAAAGAGAAGGAACCAUCACAGGAUCAUAUCUCCGGUCAUCUGCCCAAAGAACCUGCCAGGUAUUGGAGAACCUGACGUCCAUAGCAGCCAUGUAACGACGGACAUGCUCGUCCUCCUCCCUGACAUGGCGAUGCACCACCUCCGGCGGGGCCGGCUCCCUCUGCACCGAAUGUGGCCCACGCAAAUGCCACCAAAGGAGAUCAGGGUCGACGACGGGACCCAGGGCCGGGUUCCUCACCAAGCGGCGCGCCCCUGAAGGUAGCUCCUCCCAGUGCCAGCCCGGCGGAGCCCAGUCCCGGACAUGGGUCUCGUCGUGAACGGGUCGACGACGAGGAUGCGGGUCGGGCAUCGUCGAAAACAAAAACUAUAUGCAAAUGUAACAUUUUUUAAAUUAUUGGAUUGUGAUAUCUUAUAUACAAAUUCUAAAUUUCUAUAACUAAAAUUAUAAGAAACUAAAAAAACUUCGAUCAUCGUCUAACAAUUGAAAUUAAUCUAAUUCAUCUAGCUAAAACUAACAUUUCUAAAAUUUCUAACAUUUCUAUAUCUAAAAUUUAUAACAUUUGUAUAAAAAACAGAAAAAAAAACCUUUGACAUUAUAUUAUAACUAACAUGCCUAUAUACUAUUUGACAUUAAUCUAAUCUAAUUAAUUAAUUCACCUAAAACUUUGUAUGAAAAACAGAAAAAUUGUGUGUGUGUGUGCGCGUGCGCGUGUAGUGUGUGUGUGUGNNNNNNNNNNNNNNNNNNNNNNNNNNNNNNNNNNNNNNNNNNNNNNNNNNNNNNNNNNNNNNNNNNNNNNNNNNNNNNNNNNNNNNNNNNNNNNNNNNNNNNNNNNNNNNNNNNNNNNNNNNNNNNNNNNNNNNNNNNNNNNNNNNNNNNNNNNNNNNNNNNNNNNNNNNNNNNNNNNNNNNNNNNNNNNNNNNNNNNNNNNNNNNNNNNNNNNNNNNNNNNNNNNNNNNNNNNNNNNNNNNNNNNNNNNNNNNNNNNNNNNNNNNNNNNNNNNNNNNNNNNNNNNNNNNNNNNNNNNNNNNNNNNNNNNNNNNNNNNNNNNNNNNNNNNNNNNNNNNNNNNNNNNNNNNNNNNNNNNNNNNNNNNNNNNNNNNNNNNNNNNNNNNNNNNNNNNNNNNNNNNNNNNNNNNNNNNNNNNNNNNNNNNNNNNNNNNNNNNNNNNNNNNNNNNNNNNNNNNNNNNNNNNNNNNNNNNNNNNNNNNNNNNNNNNNNNNNNNNNNNNNNNNNNNNNNNNNNNNNNNNNNNNNNNNNNNNNNNNNNNNNNNNNNNNNNNNNNNNNNNNNNNNNNNNNNNNCGACGGCGACAGCGAGGCGAGGUCGACCAAGGCGACGGCGGCGACGGCGAGGCGAGGGGACGGUGACGGGGACGGCGACGUACGACGCGGGACGUACGGGGCGGCGGCGCGACGGGGACGGUGACGACGGGGACGGCGCGACGGGGGCGGCGACGGCGCGGGACGGCAGGGCAGCGGCAGAGAGAAGUGGGAGAUGAAAAACUGAAUUUUUUCGAAGCGUUUCUUAUAUAGGAUUAACCUUUAGUAUCGGUUGGAGCCACCAACCGGUACUAAAGGUCAAAUUUUGCCAGGCCAAGCGGCGGGAAGGGCGCCCCUUUAGUACCGGGUGGUGGCUCCAACCGGUACUAAAGGCCGCCCUUUAGUACCGGUUGGAGCCACGACCUGGUACUAAAGGGUGUGCGCUGCCAGGCGAGGGACGGAAAGUUUAGUCCCACCUCGCGGGGCGAAGGGCAGCCGCACUGGUUUAUAAACCGAACCGCGGCUGCUCUAUCGAACUCCUCUAUAAAGCAGGCUUCUGGGCCUAACUAUAGCGCUGCCCUGUGAGCCUGCUGGCCCUUCUGGGCCUGAAUUUCCACACCCGAGGUCUGGCAGGCCCACUGGGCAGCGCCCCAACAAUUUUUUAUAUAGUUUUUUUCUUUUCUGCAUUAUUUAUUUUCUUCUAUUUAUUUCUGAGUAAAUUUUUUAUAUAGUUUUUUCUUUUCUGCUUUAUUUGUUUUCUUCUAUUUAUUUCUGAGUAGUUUUUUUAUAUAGUUUUUUUCUUUUCUGCUUUAUUUAUUUUCUUCUAUUUAUUUCGAAAGAGAUUGUCCAGUUUGUACACGAGGUGCAUCAAGUUUUUGCCGUGACCCUCUCUACUUUUUUGCACAUGCUAUGCGGGUGAAAUGAUGAUACCAUGCCAAGUUUCAACCUUUUCAGAGUUCAUUUGUAGUGCUUUACAAUUUCAGGGCCAUUUAGCUCAAAACAAAUCAAUAAAUGCAUUAAAAUAGCAAAUUAUGUCAGAAAGGGUUGAAAGUUGAUGACGUGGCUUUGAAUGGCGCCUGCUGAACGCAAAAAAAGUCCGGAGUUGUAAUAAGUUAUUAAAAUUGCCGGUGUAACAGAUGAGUUUUCGUCCAAAACCCUGAUACUUCGAAAGAGAUUGCCCAGUUUGUACACGAAGUGCAUCAAAUUUUUGCCAUGACCCUCUCUACUUUUUUGCACAUGCACUAAAAAAAAAUACACUUUCGUGAUGAUACGUGUUCGUCACAGUAGGUCACGUUUUCUGUCAUGCAUGUACAUCCAUGACAAAUUUAUGACAGAAUCAAGAUAGUCAUACGUGUGCUGUCGUAGAAGUGUUCCAUGACAUUACCAAAAUAUCAUCACAGAAGUGUCCACUUCCAUGACGAUAAAUCGCGUGUCACAGAAGUGCUUUCGGCAAGGGUGACCGACACAUGGCAUCCACCGUAACGGAACGCCGUUAAGCUAUCGGGUCCGGUUUUGGAUCCGAUAACCCGUUAACAGCCCCGACCAAUGGGGAUUUUCCACGUGUAAAAUCAUCAUUGGCUGGAGGAAACACAUGUCGGCUCACCGUUGGGACAGAUGUCAUCCACUCAUUGGACCCAAAGCGCCUAUGAUACGUCGACACGUGGCACGGCCCAACAAAGGCCCAUUCCUAUGAAAAGGCCGGCCUGUUUGACUUGGUCAAAAGGUGGCGGGCGGCCCACGGCAAGCCUGUUAACGGCCUAUUCACAUAUAGCCCAUUUACAGCCCGCUAUCCGAGGACCCGUUUACGGCCUAUCCAAAUUAGGCCCAGUAGCAUCAUCUGGGCCGUCCAAUAUAAUUCCAGCCCGUUUUAACUUCCGGCCCAUGUAUGGCCCAUGACGUCUUUCGGCCCAUAUGAGGCCCUUAGUAACCCUCGGCCCCUUAACGGCCCGUGGUAAAACUAGCCCGUUAUGAACAGUGUAUCACUUUAUACCCAUUAACGGCCCAUUAUUCCGUUGGGCUGUUUCCAGCCCAUGUUAUCUUUCGGCCUUCUCAGGGCCCAUAUAUUCUUGGGCUCAUUUCCAGCAUUCCGUUACUUACGGCCCGUUACUGUCAUUUUCUGCUUGUGGGCCAAAUUUAGCCCAUGGUUACAGUCGGCCUGUUUGUGGCCUGUUAAUACGCUGGGCCGUUUUCAUGUCGAAAAAAACCCGUUGAGCUAUUUUCAUAGAGUUAUCAAAUACGGUCUAUUAACGGCCCGUUAUUGUCCACGAAUAGUACGACCCAUGAUUGGCGAAAUGAUGAUACGCCCCGUAGAAGGCCCAUGGAUCGUAUGGCCCGUAAAAGGCCCAUGUAUCGUACGGCCCGUAGAAGGCCCAUGGAUCCUACGGCCCGUAUAGAAGGCCAAUGGAUCCUACGGCCCGUAGAAGGCCCAUGGAUCAUACAGCCCGCAGGAGGCCCAUGGUUACAACAGUCUGUGUGUUGCCAUGAUUAUUUUGGCCCAGUUUCCAAAAAUAGGUUAUUGUGGCCACUAGAAAAACACAGAAAAAGAACUGCAGUGACUACAAGCAAACAACUAAACAAGACAAUAAGGAAAUAAAUAAGCAAGCAAUUAAUGCUAGCCUAUUACCGCUAUUACACAUAUUACAUCCACUGGGCAUCAAAGUUUGCCACCAGUGCAAAUAUAGGGAACAAAGCAGCAUAUUACAUACACUGGCCGUCAAAAUUGGCCACCAGUGCAAAUAAAUGCGGCAGCAAAACAAGAGCAUAACUGAAACAACUUCAGAAGAGCUCAAGAAACGUGGUAUCCACCAUGCUGGCAAUAAGCUUAGCAAGCUUAUUAGCUUUGUCCUGUUUGGCGCUAAAAUCCUCCAACGCUUGCUGUUGCACCAGAAAGUAUGCAUCUGAAUGCUCCAGGGACUUCCGCAGUCCUUCCGCUUCUUGUCAUAGCACAGCUGAUCGAUGUCUUUCAGCUUGUAGUUGAGACUCAAGAAACCAAACUAAUUCAGACAAUGAGUUUGAAUAGCUUAUGCAAGCAGUAGUGGCCAGUAACUCGAACACUAAACCAAGACAGGACUUUGGGGUUGUCUCACUGUCUUCGAGAUAGUAUUCCUUAGCCGUUUUACCAGCUUUGUUGGAGACCAACAAGGAUGUGUCACUAUCCUGAACCUUAUCUGCAUUACUUCCUUUACCAUUGCUUAAUAAGGCACUCUUCCCCAAUAUUCUGUCAGCAUUCUAAAAGAAGAAACAAGCAGACACAUAACAAGUUUAGCAUGUACUAGUAUAUGAAACUCAUUUCGGUGAACCAGUUCAUUAGUAAGGUGGACAUGAUUAAACUACCAAGUCUUCUAUUGCCAAGUACUAGUACAUAAUAAAAACAUCAAACAAACAUAUAUCUAUGUCUUAUGGUCACUGCAUUGUCUUGCCAAAUCAAAAUAGAGACACGGUUCAAAUCAUAUCAGUUCAAGACAAAGCAGCAGUGAAAGAAUACAAAGCGUGGGAAACUACAUGGCACAACAAGAUUUCAGAUGGGUACCACGGGUCUACAUGUACAACAACACUAUUGGCUCCGUUGUGAUGCUAGUAAUGUGCAUGAUAUGAGAAGUCAACUGUAUACACAAUUGAAAUUGAAAUCAACAGAGCUAUUGAUAAGAGCAAGCCUGUUAAAGAAACAUGCAUGAACAUACCUGUUGUGCCAUUGGAGUUUCGAUUGGAUCCCUCAAUUUAAAAAUAAGUUUGUAUGAGUAAAUACAGUGAUACAAGAGCAAAGCAGUAUGCACGAUAGCAAUCAUAGUUAAAAAAGGUGCGCCUAAGCGAGCGCUUAAGCGCGCCUAGGCUCUAGGCGUUGGCGAAACGCAUUGCGCAUAACUACGCUUAAUCUGUGCAUAACUGCGCAUAAGCAUGCGCUUUGGUCAGUAAAGCACAAGGCGGUGGCAAAACGCACAAUUAACGCCUAGCGCUUUUUUGAACUAUGAUAGCAAUCGAAUCUUAAAUUAGAACAGUUGUUCUUCAGGUUUAGGCACUUGUUCUACAUGAACAGAGUACAGUAAGACGCAAGAAUAUAGUACUUAAAAUAGAAAAUGAGCUCAUAGACCUUACCACAUUCUUGGUUUGGGACCAGUACAGAACAAGGCGUUCCCAGUCAUCGUCCAGUAAAUGUGUCUCAGGAGAACGUAAGGGAAUUUGAUGAGUUUCUUUGCCGGUGAAGUACGUUUUCUUCAGGUAAUUCCGAUACUUCCACCAAGCAUUCUUGAAGAUAGCAGAGGUAUUAGCACAGGUUACCUCAUCCUAAGUUUCCAAAUCGGUCCUUCUCUAUAGAGAAAAAUGGGAAAAUUUGCUGUAUUAUAACCAUCAUGGAGGUAGGAUGUAUGGGACAAAGCAAAGUAAUUGCCAUGAAUAACAUUACUUACACAUAACUCCUGGACAAACACCUGCAACUGGCAUUUUCCUUCAUCUUCAGUAUAAUAUUUCCAAGAUGGGAAGAUACGCACAUACAAUUUAACAACAUCAAAUGCGAUAGAUGCUAAACUAUGACUAGCUGGUUGUUCUUCCUCCACAGGAAUAGGCGUACUAACUGGUGGAGUUGGGGUUCACCGUGGUAGUACUGGCCCUUUGGGCACUGGAGCUGCCUUACUAACUGCUCUUGUUUGGGAGCUCUGUGGUGGAGAUGGUGCUGUGUCAACAGGAACUGGGUUACUAUCUGCUGGGGUUGGGGUUAGAUUGGGUGAAGCUGGUUCUCUGUCCAUCGCAGUAGGGGUACAAUCUGCGAGAGUUUGAGUUAUGUGUGGUAGGGCUGGUUCUCGUGCAUGUACAACCGGGGUGCUAUCUCCACCAAGAGGUGACACUGUUUUAUUUGAAGACCGUGUUUUUAGUCCGCUAGAUGCUGGUAUCACCUGCUCCAAUUCAAAUGGCUGAUAAACAGGAAACAUAGUUGAAUGUACAGACAUUGUAUGAGAGACAGAUGCAAUAGAUAGUGUGGAAAAAAGAGGGCAUGAAAUAGUUGACAUGUAUAUUGUUUAACUAAAACGGAUAGCAUGACAUAAUUUCACAUAUAUGAUGUCUAUCUAAACUGGAUAGCAUAGCAUAACAUAAUUCAAAGAUAUGAUGAAUAACUAAAGAGGAUCGCAUGACAUAAUUCACCUACAUGUUAUCUAAGUAAUCAGGAUCGCAUCAUUUAAUUCACAUAUGUGAUUUAUAUGCUAAACAGAGGGCAUUAGAUAUGAUGUCUGAACUAAGAACAUGGUGUUGAAUAUUGUGUAUAUGAUGUCUAAACUAUGCAAUGCAAGACACCAUAUGCAUGAUAUGAGCAGUAUAACCGUACCAAGUUAGAGCAUACACCUCGGUGGGGGAAUAGGACUGGUCAUCUGUCUCUGAAUCCAUCUCUGAGGAGCUAUCGGGAGCCAACAAGAGAUCUGCUUCGACAGGUAGCACUGUCUGCUCUGAAGGCCUUGUUUUCACUCCAGAUUUUUCAAUCUCCUACCCAAAUGGCUGAUUCACAAGAAGAGUAGUUUAAUGUACAAACAUUGUCGACAAAUGGAAAUGUAAUGAAGAAAAGGAUGGGCAAGAUAUCAUUCAAAUAUAUGAUGCCUGGUUAAACAAGAUGGCAUUCACAUUUCACAUAUAUUAUGGCUAGCUAAAAGACAUGAGACUGCAUAAUUCUCAUAUAUGAUAUAGAAACUAAACAGGUGGCAUUACAGAACAUGUCUAAACUAAGCAGAUGACAUAUAUGAUGUCAAAAGUAGGCACUGCAAGGCAACAUAUGCAUGAUAUGACUAACAUCAUCAUGCCAAGGUAGAGCAAACACCUUGGGGGGUAAAUAGGAGUGGUCAGCGGUGUCUGAAUCUGCCUCAGAACAGAUAUCUUCCUCUGGAUUACAAUCUGGAGAGGGGUGGGGAGGGUUUGCCAUUGAACCCACCAUGGAGCGAUGUCUGCAUGACAUUGUAUUGCCGCGCAAAACUCUUCUCUUUUUCUCUACAUGUUCAGCAUGACUGUGUACAAUAUCUGACAUGCAUACGAAAAAAUAUGGUGAGAUUAUGUAAGGAGAGCAUGCAAAAAUUAGAGUGAUGGUAACAACCAGUGGAUGGAUCCAAAAAUAAUAAUAGCAGGCUGAUGAUUGCUUUAAUUUAAUAAAAAGAUAGAUGAUGAUUGCUUUACUAUUUGUUUCCCACCCAAGAUAAACAACAUAGGCAUACCCUAGGUGAACCAGAUAUUAGAUAGAGAUACUAUUCAUUGCUUCCUCGAUAUGUGCCCCACAACCAAUUUAGAACUCAAGUUUGAACAUUAAUUUGGACCUGACUUGGAGUCCAAGAGGUGAACAGGACGAUAAAGUAGCAGGUAAUUUUAAGCAAUGCAUAACAUAAGCAGAAACAAAAGAGUGCGACCUCUCUUGUGGACCCGUGUACUCCUCAGGUUCAUUUGCUGAGUCGUUGAUGGUGAUGCCGUUGCGGUGGGUGCCGGCGGCAGGGAAGGAGAUCUGAGGCGGCGAAAGACGGUCAGGAGUCGUGAUGUCUGGUUUGGUGGAUGUUUCUGUCGAUAGAGCAGCUCAGUGGAGGUGGACAACAUCGUGGCAGGAGCAGGACAAACCACACAAAGUUCCCUUUGACACCUACCUGUAACUGAAGUAAUUCUUUAAGGGCUCAUUUGGUUUGCAUGACUCUAAAAACGCAGGGAUAGGAAAAACACCGGAAUAGGAUAGGAAUGCACAUGGUAAAUAGAGCAUUUGUAAACACAGGAUUUCUGUCAACUUGAGUGUUUGGUUUACAGGAAUUGGAAGAGCAGAGGAAUGCAAAGAAACAUGGCCAAAAUAAAGUGAAACCAUAUGAAAGCAUGUACAGUUAGAAUGUUAUUCUGCCACUAAUGCACUUGGUCUUGUUUUCAUGCAUAGGAUUUUGAAAAGUAGGUUGAGGUGGAUGUUUUGCUUCAUUUCUUUCAACAAAAUGCAUGAAUAAUUGAAUAGUAGAGUGCCAUUGGAAAAUUCCCUAUUGCUAUGUUUUUCCGUUGAACCAAAAUAGCCCUAAUGGAUCGACAUGAAUGUAUAGUAAUAAGUGAUGCAACAAGUGUACAACCUCUUUGCCGUAGCCGUGUCGACCUCAACAUCAUUGGGUUGGUCGCUGAAGCAGUUGAGGCAGAGGUGGCUGUCGGAGGUGUGGAGGAAGAUCUGAGGAAUCUGUAGACGGCAUCCAGGGCACUGCUCUGUUGUGAUGGAUCGUUCUGUCGUUGGAGCAGCCCCGGUGAGCCGUAAGACGUCAAGGCUGAAGCAGCACAAGAUAGACAUCGUCAAUAUCAAGUGGGAUUCUAAUAGCAUCUCCAAUAGAUGAUGUAAAAUAGAUGUAAAAUUUACAUCACCAAAAACCACCUGACUACAACAGAUGAGGUAAAAACUGUUGACUCUGAACUUAACUGUCGAAACUGAAAUUUACCGUGAAAUCUGAAUGUUACUAUCGAAACUGAACGCAAUGGUAGCAGAGAGGCACUUGACAUGUAGUUUAGGGAGGGCCUGCAGUUCAUCUUCAACCUGCACCCCCCUGAGCCGCCAGCCACCACCGGCCGAACCGCCGGCCCUAGCGCCGCCUUGCCGCCCCGAAACAACUCCCCACCGCCGGUCCGCCGCCGCCCCGACCAGCCCUAUAGGCCCCCGCCCCCACCCUGAACCCUAAGAUAGAUAGUGGGGUACCUCUCCGGCGAGCCCCCGUCCCCGCUAGGAGUGGUUCUUCCUUAACUCCGGCGAGCCCCCCCCCGCCCCCUGAAAAUCGACUGACCCAAAAGUCGAUUCAGUCGACUGAAGUGUAGCUAAAUCGGAGCAGAGCAGCAACACGAGCCAGGGGGAGAGCAGCAGCAGCAGCGCGAGCGAGCGAGAGCCGGAGCAGCAGCAGCUGGGCGAGCGAGCGAUCGAUCGAGAGCCGGAGCAACAACAGUAGCGCGAGCAAGCGAGCGAGAGCCGGAGCAGCAGCAGCAGAUCCGGCUGGUAUGGCCGCCGCCGCCGAAGGGGCCUCGCACCGGGGGAGAGCCGCCGUGGAGAUGUCGCCCGCGGGACCGGCUUCAAGGUAGCCACUCCGUGGGGGUGCGGGAUGGAGCACCGUCGGCACCGGGAGGUCGAGCUAAGGAGAAGGUGCGAUGCGAUGAGUGUACAACCUCUUUGGUGGCGCCGAGUAGGCCUUGGCUUCGUCCGAGGAGUCGGUGAGGAUGCUGCGGUAUCGUUGGAGCAGGUUAAGGCGGCGCUGUGGGGAUGGAGCAGCCGUGAUAGACGAGGCGAUCGUCGGAGCAGCUCCUUGGAGGUGGAGGACGGGGCGGCUGAACCGGCGGGACGACGGGAUGGACGACGGAUCCUCAUCCGGGGAGGUGGACGAGGGACGUCGAGCUGUUGCGGUGGACGAUGUCGUCGGGGAAGAGGCUCCGGCUGGGCAGCGGUGAGGUGGCGGACGGAGGAGGGUGGGGUUUCGCUGCUGGAGCAGAGAGGUUAUGGCGGCCUGGGAUUUCGAAUGGCAACAAGGAGGCGAUGGGAGGGGGUGAACCAUGACUUAGGGACGCUGAAAGAACAUGCGGUGCCCCCAUGUUUGGUUUUGGUAAUUGAUGACAAUCUCUAUGGACUAAUGGUUGCCUUGAGUUAUAUUUGAAGGAUUUGUCCAUAGGCAUUUCUUGAAGUCCAUGUGUUGGUUUCAAGGAGUUUAUGUGGUGACCAAGGUGUUAUUAAGGAAUUAUCCAAAGAUUGGUCAUGUGAGAGUAGAACUUAUUGCAAGCAUGUCUUGAAGAAGAAGAUUGUGUGAUCAUUCAUGUUUACCUUCAAGACAUCAUCCAAAUGAAGAGAGUUGGAAAGAGUCAAGGUUGAUCAAGACUAAGUCAAGAGUGAAUCAAGUUGAUCAACACACAAAGCGCACAAGAUGUACCGAGAGGGAUCAAGCGAUCCCAAGGUGUGGUAAGCAUUGUCGAUUACGCUUUGUGUACUAACCCAUGAUCUUCGUGAGAGUUCUUUGUGGGGUUAGGUUGCGGUGUGCAAGUUCAAGUGAAGCAUCAUGAAGAGAUCAAAUGCUUGAAGCUUGCCGUCCAUUGUGGCGACAAUGGACUUGUGAAGAUGUUGCAGUGCGCAAGUUCAAGUGAAGCAUCAUGACGAGAUCAAAUGCUUGAAGCUUGCCGUCCAUUGUGGUGACAAUGGACUGGUGAAGAUGUGCGGAAGAGUGGCUCACCCAUAGUGGAGUAUGGGGGAGCAAUCAACUAGUCUUCAUCGAGCCAACACAACCAGGAAAGGUGGUCCAACUUGAGGGAGUCAAGAUCGUCAUCAUCUAGCUCAAGUGGACCAUGUGCAAGGCAAAGGUUUGCUCUUGAUAGGUUUUCUAUUUUACCGGUCUCAUGAUGGUAGUUGGGAUACCGGGUUAUAGGAUCGAUUGCCGUACUAUCAAGGGGGGCUCUCGAUGAGUAGCUUGAUCGUAUCGUUCAUAGAGAGCUCAAACCAUUGCAUCCUUGCAUCAUCUUUGUUGGUUCUUGUUUGGUUCUUCUCUUUGUGAGUUUUGGAGCUUAUGGUCAUCUUGAUGACAAGCUCGAGUUCAUCGAAAACGGAGUUCACUCGCAUCUUCUAUGAUGUUUUCGAUGUUGGAGGUUAUGCCGGUUCUUCUCGGUUGGAGGUUUCACUCCUUAUUUUUUGGCAUACCUCCCCUGCCUCUUCUCUGUUUUGAUGCUACUCGUCUUUCUCAAUCCAACAAGCUUGAGUUUGCUCAAUUCGGAGCUCAUAUGCAGAAGUUAUGGCAGUUUUGGUUUCCUAGCGGUAGUACCGCGGCCAGAGCGGCAGUACCGCUUAUCACCCCAAGCGGUAGUACCGCUGUCCAAAGUGGUAGUACCGCCUAUGGCCAUAAGCGGUAGUACGGCUACGGUUCCGCGCUGGUACCGCCUCGAUUUUGGGUCUUGCAUUUUUCGUGUCGAGUUUUGCAGUAGUUGCACGACAGUAAGGCACGACAGUUCCACCUAUAAGCGGUAGUACCGCCUAUAAGCGGUAGUACCGCUCCGGUCGGGCGGUAGUACCGCUACUGUUUUUUUGUUCCCGUGUUCUGCUCCUCCAGCGGUAGUACCGCUGGGGUGCGCGGUAGUACCGCUUAUAAGCGGUACUACCGCCCCAAGGUUCAUGUUUGGUUGCUCCUUUUCCCUGCUUCUUCCGCCAGAGCGGUAGUACCGCUCGUGGAGCGGUAGUACCGCUCGCGUGCGGGCUGAGCACAUAAUGGUUGGAUUUUCCCCCUUCUAUAAAAGGGGGUCUUCUUCCCCAAUGAACCUUAUCUUUUGAGCUUGUGUUCUUCCCCCAUUGUUGACCUUCUUCGAGCUUACUAACUCUCAAUCCCUCCAUGGAUUCUUGCUUGUUUUUGAGGGAAAAGAGAGAGGAGAUCUAGAUCCACAUUUCCACCAAUCACUUUCUCCUCUUUGUGAGGGGAACCCCUUGGAUCUAGAUCUUGGAGUUCUUGGUGUUCUCCUUCUUGUUCUUCCUCUCAUUUUCCUCCCUAGCAUUAGUUGCUUCGGUGGGAUUUGAGAGAGAAGGACUUGGGCACUCCGUGUGCCCUUGCCAUUGCAUUUGGUGCAUCAGUUUGAGUUCUCCACGGUGAUACGUGGAAGUUACAAGUUGAGAAGCUUAUUACUCUUGGGUGCUUGGUGCCCUUGAGCUUGUUCCUCUUGGGUGCUUGGGCGCCCUAGACAGUUGGUGGUGUUCGGAGCUCAAUAAUUGUGGUGUAAAGAUCCGGGCAAGCGUCGGGGUCUCCAAUUAGGUUGUGGAGAUCGCCCCGAGCAAUUUGACGGGUACCGGUGACCGCCCCCAAGGGUUGCCAAAGUGUACGGGUUCGGUGACCGCCCCCCAAGGGUUGCCAUUUGUACGGGUUCGGUGACCGCCCUCAAGGGUCCCUUAGUGGAAUCACGGCAUCUUGCAUUGUGCCAGGGCGUGAGGAGAUUACGGUGGCCCUAGUGGCUUCUUGGGGAGCAUUGUGCCUCCACACCGCUCCAAAUGGAGAUUAGCAUCCGCAAGGGUGUGAACUUCGGGAUACAUCGUCGUCUACGCGUGUCUCGGUUAUCUCUUACCCGAACCCUUUACUUAUGCACUUUACUUUGUGAUAGCCAUAUUGUUUCUUGUCAUAUAUCUUGCUAUCACUUAUUUGUUUAUCUUGCUUAGCAUAAGUCGUUGGUGCACAUAGGUGAGCCUAGUUGUUGUAGGUUUUGUGCUUGUCAAAUUAACCGCUAGGUUUAUUCCGCAUUUGUUCAAGCCUAAACCGUAAUUAUUUUAAAACGCCUAUUCACCCCCCCUCUAGGCGACAUCCACGAUCUUUCAGACGCGCUUGUCCAAAAUGUAGGGUGUGUUACAAAAGUACCCCCCCCCCACCAAUUUGAACUAGCGGCCCUUUCGGCUCAGGGUUAGAAGGGGGAUUUUGCGUGUCGGGAUUUGGCAGCUGGAGGGAGCUUUCACGCGCGUUGUAAUUUCGGGAUAGCAAGGUGCGGGUUGUGAAGGCACCAGUUUUGGGAGCACGAUAUUUGAAUUUUUGGGAUCUAACAAGGUGCGGGUUGAAUUUUAGGGACAAGCCUAACGUGUAAUAUUGUACUUGUACAUACCAAAUCAAUUCGCACUUCCCUCAAACAGAAAGAAAACGAAAAAAAUAAAGCUAUUCACACCACACAAAGAGAGAGUCUUGCCCCGUUUUACUAUAAAAAUGCUAUUCAAAGCUACUCCCUCCUUCCAUCUAUAUAGGGCCUAAUGCGUUUUUCGAUGCUAACUUUGACCAAAUAUUAGAGCAAUAAUAUAUGACAUGCAACUUACACAAAGCACACCGUUAAAUUCGUCUGUGAAAGGUUCUUUCAAUGAUAUAAUUUUCACAUUGUGCAUGUCAUGUACUAUUAAUCUUGUCAAUAGUCAAAGGCGGUCUUAAAAAAACUCAUUACGCCCUAUAUAGAUGGAAGGAGGGAGUAUGAAUCCAUGUUAUGUCCAAUUAAAUUUUUUCGCUUGCUGUAUAAUGCAUGUAACCUACUCAUACCAACAUUUUAGUGCAUUCCAAAUGUCUAUACUACCGCUGCAAUUCGAACUGAAUUUGAAUUCGUUUCUCUAUUUCAAUAAGAAUCUACAAUCAUGAUUGUUGCCAACUUCAACCAUCAUUCGUGUAUUACCUUAAUAACACACCACAUGAUUACUAUAGAGAUAGAUAUGAACUAUGUGUACUACAUGAACUCGAAUUCUAUUUUUUGAAUACACUUGAUGUUGAUUCCAAAUAAUAGUACAUUUGAUGUACUAACUAUAUAUUCAUAAUCUAAACCAUGUUCCAUACAUGUACACCGUGUUUAUCACACAUAGUAUAGUGCCCCGCCCCCUACAUUAUGACAAGUAUUUAGACCUGAGCUGCAAAAGCCACACAUUAGCCCAAAUUAUGAUCAACGUUCUAUAUAUUAUACGUAGUACUAGCAAGAUGCCCAUGCGUCCCACAGAACAUCAACAUAAUCAAGGGGAGGCCUAAUUUGCAAAUAUGGAGAGGGGUGUGGGUAUCUUUUUCCAAAAUUGCCAUAGUUUCCUUCCUAUCCGUCAGAUAUAAAUCGGACGGCCUAUAUUGCAGGAUGGCAGGCACACCAUCAUCAACAACUCCGUUUUUGUAUAAGAGUAGAGAUAAAAUAUAUUAUAUGUAGUAUAACAUGUUCAUAACCACACCAUGUGUAUCACCGUUAUAUAUAUUCACACAUGCGUCGGUUUAAAACACUAUGAUAAAUUCUUCAAAUAACUGAAUUCGCUUUUUAUAAUGAAGUAUGAUCUCUAUUCGUCUUUUACACCCACACAAUCCUCUUAUCUUUGUAGCUAGCUAGCGCUAACUUUCUCUCAUGCAUGCACAUGCCCGCAUCCCUCUCACCCUCCCUCAGCAUUCUCUAGCUCCAUCGCGCAAAUUCGUCUUUUCACUUUAGGUCGUUCACCCACGGUGUGUGUAGGCCCCCAACUCCUUCUUUACGGCACACAUCGAUCGAUAUGCCUCUCUAGCCAGGUGUGCCUAACACAAAACACAAGCUUCCCCUCUUCUCUUAUCACCGUCCAUGCCUCACCCCUACCACUCUUUUCAUCGAUCUCGUACUCGCACACUCCUCCCCCCGAUAUAGUAUGGCUCUCGCACCACUUUCUAGAUGCAUCCCUCUCUCUCUAUCCUUCUCCCCGUGCCUCAUUUGCUUCUAACACACACAUGCAUGCAUACCGAUCGAUCUCCCAACAUAUACCUAGGUCGACUUUAACUAUUCGCCCCCCAUCGAUCGACGUACCUCACAAGUUAUGUCUCUCCUUUCUCUGACAAAGGACGAUUGAUCUUCCUAUUUAGUUAUGUCUGCUUACCACAGCCAUAUCGCCCCCUCAUCAUUCGUGCAUGCCUCUUGACCCGUCUCUCACAUGCACAUGCACAGACAGGCAGCCAUCCCCUCUCUUAUUUAUAUUGCAGGCGUGCCCUCCAGUUGUCUAGCAAGCCUAUCCCACCAUUUGUUAGAAGCAACUCCACUACCACCCCCUCCAACACUCUAGCUCUGUCUCUCUCCCAACCUUAUUCCUCUCCUACACAUAUGCAUGGAUGCCGAUCGAUCUCCCUUAAUACAUGAGGUGGAUCGAUCUCCCUUAAUACAUGAGGUAGGCCUCUCUCCUCCUCCACACAUAUACCAGCCAUUGUACCUCUAGAGUUAAUUAGGCCUCCCUCCCCCCUGUCGGUGUCAAAGCCGGCGGAUCUCGGGUAGGGGGUCCCAAACUGUGCGUCUAGGAUCGAUGGUUACAGGAGACGGGGGACACGAUGUUUACCCAGGUUUGGGCCCUCUCUAUGGAGGUAAUACCCUACUUCCUGCUUGAUUGAUCUUGAUGAAUAUGAGUGUUACAAGAGUUGAUCUACCAUGAGAUCGUAGUGGCUAAACCCGAGAAGUCUAGCCUGUAUGACUAUGAGUAAUGAGUAUAUCCUUUCCGGACUACACCCUCCGGUUUAUAUAGACACCGGGGGAAUCUAGGGUUACAUAGAGUCGGUUACAUAGGAUGGAAUCUUCAUAGUUGAUUGCCAAGCUUGCCUUCCACGCCAAGGAGAGCCCUAUCCGGGCACGGGUACAGUCUUCGGCCUUCACGUCUUCACAGCCCAUCAGUCCGGCCCAUGGAUAACAGGCCGGACGCCCGAGGACCCCUUAGUCCAGGACUCCCUCAGUAGCCCCUGAACCAGGCUUCGAUGACGAGGAGUCCGGCGCGUAGAUUGUCUUCGGCAUUGCAAGGCGGGUUCCCCUUUCCGAACCCCAAGAUAGUCUUCAGAUGUAAUGAUUGUAUCCAGACCUGUAUACACAACUACAGAGGAUAUAAUAUUUCACGAGUUCAAUCCACCGACAACUUUUUGGUAAUAUGACAUCACGCCUGCUCGGCCAUUAUUUUCGAAGCGUUAGCUGGCCCGUCGUCCCAUGUCUCAAUACGUGGUUUUAUUGGCACGUCUUAUCCAAGCGGAGAUCGUGUCUCCCCUUUUUUUGGGGGGGAUUCUUGCCAACCCGGACGUGGGUAACCCAACCAUCGCUUGGGUACAACUCCUUGGGAAUAGGCAAGUCUUGAGGCCCAGGAGGAGAUGUUUGAUAUUCGUAGCCUUUAUAUAGGGGUACAGACCCGUCUUUUUCUUUCACGCUCGCUUCUUCCUCAACCCUUGCUACCUCGAGUUCUAGCACUCGGGUUUCAGUUGCCACAAGCCCCAAUCAUGUACGGAUCCAGCCAUCAAGGCCGGUGGGUAGCUUCUUUUGUCACGGAGGGAGAUAUUGCAAAGCUUCGGGCGGCGAGGUAUCUGACCGCAGAAAUUCAUCAUCGGCUUCCUGCCGAGGGGCAGGUUAUUCCCACCCCCAGAUCCGGCGAGAGGGUCGUGUUCGUGUCCCACUUCCUCCGCGGGUUAGCGUUUGCACUUAAUCCCUUCGUCUGAGGGCUCAUGUUCUAUUACGGGCUAGAUUUUCAUGAUCUGGCCCCGGACUCUAUUCUUCUUAUCUCGGCGUUUAUCUUCACGUGCGAAGCCUUCCUCCGAACUCCUCCGCACUUCGGCUUGUGGCUCAAGACCUUCGAUGUGAAGCUGCAAGUGAUAGAGGGGGAGCUAGCUGAGUGCGGUGGUGCUACAGUGAGCAAGCUUUCCAGCGCUGUUUGGCUGAAAGGAUCCUUCGUCAAAUCUUUUGAUUUAUGGCAGCAGGGGUGGUUCUAUAUCACCGAGCCCCGCGGCUCCAAGUGGGCAGCGGCGCCUGCAUUUCGAUCCAGCCCCCCAAUUCAGCUUGCAUCAUGGAUUAAUAAGGGGUUGGACUAGGGAUCAACGGACGUGGUGCGAACUCUGCAAAGUUGCAUCCGAAGCCUCAUUGAGAGGGACAUCAAUAUCGUCAACGUUGUUCAAGUAAUGCUAGUCCGUCGGACCCUGCCGUGCCAGCGACGGCCUCUCCGCCUGUGGGAGUUCAAUCCAGAAGGGCCACAGACUCUUCAGCACUGCUUCGGCACUACGCACGAAGGAAUGUGGAGAUUAUUCUUCGGGAAACGAAGGCAAUGGCCGGACACCACCGAAUAUGUCGGCCUAGACUGUAAUCAUCCGGAUACCCCGGUAAGCACCCGUUUGCCGAAUACCUCAUAAUCAGAUACCCAGUGGCCAGAUACUGACCGAAUCAUCCUUUUUCAGGGCUAGAUAAAGAAGGUGGAACGGAUUAGGUGUCCGGCUCCCCUUCCCGAAGACUCAGCUAAUCCUGUGCUAACAAGGAUGCUGGCCUCGGCACCAUAUCAGGCGCCGACAAGGGAGGGCAAAGAGGAUAGCGAAAAGACCCGGGAUGACCUUUGUUCCGGAAGUAAGUCGGAUACUGAGUCUGAAGAAAUCGACCUUUCCUCGCCUGAAGAUAGAGGCGAAAGAGGAGCCAGCAUCCCUUCUCCGAGUAGGAGGAAAAGGGCCGCCUCCAAAGGUUGGGAGGGCGAUCCCCCAAAAGGGGCAAGAUGCCACCGUUGAGCGGCUUGGGUUUGGAAAGUGACGCCGUUGAACAGCUCCGACAAGGGGACAAGCCCUCGGCCAAACCGUAAGUGAAUCUGGAAUACUUUGAUAGCAUCCCGCUCCUUUGCCGUUACCGAAGAUAUACGUAACGCGUCCGUGCAUUUUUACAGGUCGGCGCAGAGUGUUUCUGGGCAAUCCUCUUCUUCGGGAGGUCUCCUCCCAGAGAUGAUGGAGAGCGAGAUGCCUCCCCCAACCUCCUCACCCAAUAAGGCAGACGACUCUGAAGUGUCGUCGCGGAGGGUUCUUCUUAAUCAACAAGUUACGCAGGGGAUAAAAGAGGCAGUACCCGAAGGUGGAUCUCCGAUCGUCCGAGAUUCUGGGGCUGAUAAUAAAGGCCUCGGACUGUCUGGCUCGCAGCCGACGGUGAUUCUGGAGACGGGUGAACAGAUUCCUUCAAAGGAUGGCGGUGCUCCUAGAGCGGCUUCCGGAGACCCGGAGGCUCCGGAUAUAUUGCGAGACAUGUUGCGAAAAGCAUCUGUCUCGGGAGAACAGCGUACCUUGAUGGGUAAAGUGGUUGAGAAGAUUUUGUCCGCGAAGAGCGGAUUGAAUGAAGCCUUCAUGAGCCUGCUAAAAGGCCUCGAGGUUUGUGAUAUAAUAUUUUCAGCUAUGUUUUAUUUGCAAAGAUGCACCUGUGUAUAGGUAGUAGCCCCUGAGACUCGGGUUGGCUUCCACUGGGAGGCGAAUUGGAGGAUCAAAAAGGAUUACUCAAGGACUGAUCUGAUGAACUGGAAUGCAGGUUGUUUCCCCCUUAGCUACUUCCCAGACUAUGGAUAUUGCCGAGCUGCAGCGGAAGCUUGAUGUAGCAGGGGAUGACCUUGCGUUAAUCAAUAUGCAUCUUGACGAGUCGCAAGGUAUGUAUUUGGGGCAAUCCCCAUACAUUUUUUGUGGUAUAAGCAUGAUGCUAAAAUCUGUAUGCUGGAAUAUGCGUGGCUGCAGAUGGUGCUGCCGCCGUUGAAGUUCUUUGAGCGGAGCUGGCCUGGGCCAAGGAGCAGGCCCGGUGUAGCAAUGCGGCUGCCGAAAAGGCAUCAGCUGAGUUAAAAGCCGAACAAGCUGCACGACGCCAAGACGAGGAGAAGAUAUCCACGAUGACGCUCGAACUAGAGAAUGCUACUGGCCGCUGUGCAUUUCUGGAGAAGGAGAGUAAAGCCUUAACGGCUGAACUGGACAAGGCCUUACAAGAGGAGAGAGAAGCUCGGUCAGAAUCCAAAGCAACCCGUGAGGAGAUCCGGCAAGCUAGGGAUAUUGUGGCUGGUAAGCCAUUUCUGCUGCAAGCUAAGUUCGGUGAUCCGAACUAUGCUCAGCUUAACCAAGUGUGGAGCUCUCUGGACGAGUUUUUAGACCUGCCGAAGAGUUCUUCCGAUGCGGCGCAGUAUUACCAAGCGCGAGAUGCGUGUGCAACGGAGAAGCUUUUUUGGUCGCAGUUUGGCACAUCAAAGCGCCCUCUGUUGCUCAAUGAACAGAUGUCCCAAUGGGCCGAACUUCAUAGGUGCCAUGAAGAACAUCAUAAUCCGGUUGUGGCCAACCGAGCCUAUUCCGAAUAGCUACUUCGGUUUGGUGCAAAGGCUUGUUGACACGGUGCCGCGUAUCGACGCUGUGAAGCGAUUGGCAUGUAUUGAGGGUGCACGGAUGGCUUUUGCCCGAGUCAAGACAUUCUGGAGGAAGAUGAAGGUCAUAAAUGUUGCGGCAAAGAGUCCACCCAAGGGCAAGGACCGUCCUGAACCGGAGCAUUAUUUUGAAGACGUCCUGGAGGCCGCCCGCUUGAUAGAGGGUCAGUGCUCGAAAAACAUAAUGUUCGAGUGAGGUGUAUGAGAAUUGUAAAAGGCCAUUUUAUAGUUGAUCUAUUUUAUGUUUUGCUUGAAAGCUUGAAUUCCUCCUGUGCGGCCGUUUUAAUAUAAUCUGAAAGUUUUCUAGUCAUCGGCUUCAGCCCCCUCGUAGGAAGUACGGGGGUGUUCCGAAAAGCAUUUAAUCACUCUUUAUCCAACGUCUUGGUCCAUAAAGGAGGUGAUAAUGCGGCGAACUAGGCAAUCGGACUAUAGGGCGUUAACACUUUCACUUAGCCAUAGGAGUUUUAUGGUGGGACUACGACCUAGCCCCUGGUAUGUAUGCGGCGUAUGGUGCCUUACAUAUUUGAUCUGAAAAAGAUCCUUUGUGUGACAUGGAGAAUCGCUAAAGAUUCCAAUAAGUCGUCAAGUGGUUGACCAGCUCUCGCCGCAUCAUGACAGUCAGUUUUUGGCUUUCUCUACUGAGGUACUUGACCAGAUGAACCGGAAGCACAAUCGCAGUAGUUCUCCCUUUACUACCCUAGCCGAUAGAGCGGAACGUAGGGUAGCAAGCACAGGAGCCGGGCAACACAACUAUUGACCCAAGACAAUGAUUCGGAGCUAAUUCAUAUAUGGCCAAACUUGCGACGCCGAAGUACGCUGUAGAGCUGUUCGGGCUUUUGCUCGCAACUCAUUUGUUCCCAUAUCGAGCCCCUGGCAGGUUAUAACAAGGUAUAUAUGUGAGACAACCAUGGGAGUCGUAUUCAGUGGCGAAACAACACGGAUGAUUAAUUCGGAUAUUGUUUACUGGGAGCUGAGCGAUAUACCAAUGAUUACUUAUUAUAUAUAAAAGCCAUCCUCCCGGUUAUUUGACAUGCUCAGGGUCGGAGGUGGAGGAACAGGCAUAGUACAGGCUCAAAAUAGAGAGUGCGGUCUACAAAAAGUUAUUUUGGACCUCCUGUCGCACGUCUGCACCGCCAGUCCUCGGCGGGGGGAAUCCUUGAUGGAAAUAGCCCCUUAGGUGAGUGUACGGAUCCGGACUCCGAUAGCGCCAGUUUCAGAUGUUUGUCCUGUUCGUCACCUGUUUUUAAGGGAUAGUGAAGGAAGAAAUAAAAAGAAAAAUGGAUAAAAAAUGUUACGGGGGUGCUUGCAGGCUUGUCCGUAGUGUGCUUCCGCCAAUGCCCAUGGAUCUUGAGUGCAUAGUGAUGUAUGCGCGGCACAAAUUUUGCAGGUGUACGAGGUGGGCGGCGGAAGCCGGACUGCUAUUUUCGCUCCGGGAGUAGUUGAUCCUCGGGUGGAAAUUGCUUCUGGCCCCCGGUAUUUCGUUGGUGAACCUCUCCGUCGUCCCUGUCGCCUGGCGGCCUCUUCCCCUUGUGUUCGGCGUUGAGCUUGCCGGCCUGUUUAAAGACCCAGCAGUUUCUAUUAGUAUGAUUAGCUGGUUUGUCGGGGUGGCCAUGAAUCUGGCAGGGUCGGUCCAAUAUCCUGUCUAGGUUGGAUGGUUCGUCUCGGUUUGCCUUGAAUGGCUUCUUCCGUUGACCAGGCUUAGGGUUGCUGAAUCCGGCGUUGACCGCUGUGUCGCGUGAUAUUUCAUUAUCAUUGCGACUGUUGUGUUUGCUUCGUCAUGGCUUGCCGUUGCCAUCUCGGAUUUCGGAAGUGCCCGGGUCGCUGGCGAUGUGGCUUCUACGAGCGAGCCAGUUGUCUUCUCCCGCGCAAAAGCGGGUCAUUAGAGCAAUAAGGGCUGUCAUGGAUUUAGGUCCUUCUUGUCCGAGGUGGCGUGCUAGCCAUUCGUCCCGGACGCUGUGUCUGAAGGCCGCAAGGGAUUCCACGUCCGGACAGUCGAUGAUUUGGUUCUUUUUGACUAAGAACCGAGUCCGGAGCUUCCUGGCUGACUCUCCGGGCUGCUCGACAAUGUGGCUUAGGUCAUCGGCGUCUGGUGGCCGGACAUAUGUUCCUUGGAAGUUGUCAAGGAAGGCUUCUUCCAAGUCUUCCCAGCUGCCUAUGGAAUUUUCAGGCAGGCUGUUUAGCCAGUGCCGAGCUGGCCCUUUUAGCUUUAGUGGGAGGUAUUUGAUGGCAUGGAGGUCGUCUCCACGCGCCAUAUGGUUGUGGAGGAUAAAAUCUUCUAUCCAUACCGCGGGAACGGUUGUUCCGUUGUAUGAUUCAAUAUUGACGGGUUUGAAUCCGUCGGGGAAUUCAUGAUCCAUUACUUCAUCAGUGAAGCAAAGAGGGUGUGCGUCGCCUCUAUGUUGGGCCACACUGUGACGUAACUUCGAAGGAGCCCAUUUGUGGUUUUCGUCUUGGGCGUGGCUAGGUUUGUCACGUCCGAAUAGGUAGCCCUUGUCGUGUGUCGAGGCAUGCCCUCGCGAUCCAUAGAUCGAUCUUGCGUGUCCUGCUCUACUAUCCGAGUCCCGUCGGAGGUCGUCAGUACAGCCAUGAGCUGUGUUAUUCUUGUCUUUGCGAUGACGUGGGGCGGUCUGGUAUUCGGCUUGAGUUGCCUCUUUAUCUAGACAGAGUUGUCGACGACCUGCCGCAUUGUGUGAUGAUGGUACAGGCCCCAACGCCUCGUCAUCAGACUGAGGUAGCGAUAUAUGCUUCGGGUAGCUUUUGGCUGGGCCACUAAGGCCGUAUUCUUCGGCAGCCAGGACUUCGGUCCAUCUGUCGUUGAGUAGGUCUUGGUCAGCUUGAAGCUGCUGCUGCUUCUUUUCAGGCUCCUCGCAGUAGCUAUUAGCCUGCGCUUGAAGCGCUCCUGCUCGAGGGGUUCUUCAGGUACGAUGAAGUCUUCGUCGCCGAGGCUUACCUCGUCUUCGGAGGGUGGAAGGUAGUUGUUGUCCUCCGAAUUGUUGCUGGGCAGGGCCUGUUCAUCGGGGCUGGCUUGCCUGUUUUCUUGUUCCUCCUGUUUGGAUCUUGCUCCAACAGGGUCUUCAUUGUUUUUGGCGUCGUCCGGAGAACUAUUUUCUCCGGUGCCAGCGUUGCUGCGAUAUGACUUAGCGCGGUGUUUAGGGCACCGGUGCUUAGACUGUGUCUCAGGAGAUUUAUUCUCGACUGGAUCUUCUUUGUCAUCAUCGCUAGGUUUUUUAGGUGUAUCAACCAUGCACACGUCGUACGAAGAGGCGGCCGUUCCACGUCCCGUGAAUGGCGGGUCUUGGCCUUGCUCCUUAUAGGCAUCGUCGUCUACACCGUCGAUGUCUUCGGAGCCAUAAUCAAGCGUGUCGGUUAAGUCCUCGACAGUGGCUAUGAAGUGGGUGGCGGGUGGGAAGCGAAAUUCUCCAUUAUCAGCCCCUAGCUCGAACCAGACACAGUUCGGCUGUGAGUCCCCUGCCAAGGACAGGUUUUUUUAAUGAAUUUAGAAUGUCGCCCAAGGGCGAGUGUUCAAAGAUAUCUGCAGCGCUGAACUCGAAGAUCGAUAACCAAUCCAGCUCUGCGCCCGCAGGCGUGUGUGGUUCGGAACUUAUAGCUGGAGACGAGUCCGGAAUUCCGUUGACGCAGAUAUCCCCAGGUGUUGAGUCUGUGUGCAGCUCCAACACCGCGGACUCUAUGGCGUCGGAUGGUGCAAUCUGCUCCGAAUCUAAGGCCAUAGUUGUUACGGGAACCAUCUCCUAAAUCUGGUCCGAUGACAGAUUUAAGUCAUGUUCAUCGGAGUGAGGGGGAGCGAUCGUCGUGGUCUCAAAUUCGUUGAGGAUCAAGUCUCCACGGAUAUCCGCGACAUAGUUCAAGCUUCCAAAUCUGACCUGGUGGCCAGGGGCGUAGCUAUCGAUCUGCUCCGAGUGGACAAGCGAGUUGGCCCGCAGUACAAAGCCGCCGAAUACGAAAAUCUGUCUGGGGAGGAAGGUUUCUCCUUGGACGGCGUCACUAUAGACGAUCGAAGAGGCCAUCGAACCUUUCGUCGACGACACAGUGGAACUCUCAAUGAAAGCACCAAUGUCGGUGUCAAAACCGGCGGAUCUCGGGUAGGGGGUCCCGAACUGUGCAUCUAUGAUCGAUGGUUACAGGAGACGGGGGACACGAUGUUUACCCAGGUUCAGGCCCUCUCUAUGGAGGUAAUACCCUACUUCCUGCUUGAUUGAUCUUGAUGAAUAUGAGUGUUACAAGAGUUGAUCUACCACGAGAUCGUAGUGGCUAAACCCUAGAAGUCUAGCCUGUAUGACUAUGAGUAAUGAGUAUAUCCUUUCCGGACUACACCCUCCGGUUUAUAUAGACACCAGGGGAAUCUAGGGUUACAUAGAGUCGGUUACAUAGGAUGGAAUCUUCAUAGUUGAUCGCCAAGCUUGCCUUCCACGCCAAGGAGAGCCCUAUCCGGACACGGGUACAGUCUUUGGCCUUCACGUCUUCACAGCCCAUCAGUCCGGCCCAUGGAUAACAGGCCAUACGCCCGAGGACCCCUUAGUCCAGGACUCCCUCACCCCCACCACACACCGAUAGUCGAGCGCUGUAGGUAGGUAUCCAUGCCACAGAGACAAACUGCACAUGUCCCCUCUCACGUUCCAGUAGGCCAACCACUCUAUAUCUUUGACGUGGGCACACACAACUUCGAUGGCACUCUUUAUCGAUCGCGCGCAAGCACACACACACACACAUCAUCCCUCUCUUUGAUUCUAUGGACACCUCAAGCCGAUAAUACCUCCACUCUCUUCUCAUGGAUCGCCCCCUCUAUAUAUAUGAUAUAUCCAGGACUCUAUUUCACACACAUUGCAUAUGUUACAUUUUUUGAUUGACCCCACCCCCCCAGAAAAACUCUCACGAACCCACACACUAUAUAUCUCUACGUUUCUAUCUCUCUCACACAACUCCACGUAGGUGGUGUACAUAUACAAGAAGAGAAUAGGUGCACCGUGCACGUACUCACGCUUCGUGCCCAGCUACACCCGCGCGGAUACACGGUGGAGCUCAUUUCUGUACGAAAUGGCAGCCCACGUGCUAAUUUGAAUGCGUGUAGCGGUUGUUUACCUACGGAGGUCGUGUACCACGCAUGCAUGAGACAAAGUUCGACUUGAUGCAUUGGCGCGUUAUUUUUAAAUAAAGUUAUAUCGCUCAAUGGCACGUACACAGAAUAUAAAAAGAUUUUUAUGGAGAAAAAGGUAGUCCGCUCCACCAUAUACAAUGGAGCCUGCCUGCCUGGUUUGUCUCUCUUCAGAGUAUCUCACACAAGGCUACGGUGGCCUCUCUCUCUCUCUCUCACCGUUGGUCACUGAUCCGGCCGCAUCCCGUCCGCCGGCGGAAAGGGAGGACGUGCAUCGUUUCUCCGUUCGACGGCGCCGAGGUAGCACGUCCCGAUAUGCGGUACACGCCGUUCUCUCUGACCAAGCUCUGGCGUGGUAGGGCCUACGCCACCUGCUCGCUGCCGCAGUAUGGGCAGAUUCCGCCCGCCGCUGCUCACCUAGUUACAUCCCGACGACCUCCAGAUAUCCCCUCCGGCCUUGCUCCACUGCCCGUCUUCCCACGUCGCUGCAUGUGGAUCUUCCAUAGUUCUUUCCCCAAAACACAACCGUAUUGUUAUCUUCCGGCGUACUUUCCAUAUUGCAAUCUCGUCCUCACACCGUUUUAGACAAACACAACCGUGUUGUUAUCUUCCUUUAGGACAAGGAAUAUGCUUCUUUUUUGUCGUCGCAUAUGUCAUCAACUGUUAUUGGCCAGUAAUUGUUUCCUUUCUACCUCUUUUUUUGCAAACAGGGCUAUCCAUUUCACCUCGCUGCUAUUGCGACCUUUUGGUGAACUGCACAAAUCACUUUUUUCUUAAGAGUGUUUUGUGCAGUUCUACCAAAAUGUCACACGGGCAACGUCUCUACAUUUCAGUGCGACUGCACAAAGGGAGAUUGGUUUUGCUCUAUCCUCCUCAUCCAACUCCGAGCCUAAUCUUCUCCAACUAGUUAGUCUUAAGAGAGACUUCAAAGGUGACCGGCUUCUAUUUGUGUGUUUAUUGUUUCAUCAGCUGUCCUCUAUUAUCGUAAUCACACCUAAUAUCUUUGGAACAGGGACGCUCAGCUCUAUUUUAGUGAAACUGCACAAAAUGAUCGGAAUGUUGCAUGCUCCAGACAGCUACUUUUCCCCCAACAUGCCUUGUUGAUUUAGACAGAGCUGGGGGGACGUUGCUGCCAAUAAAAACAUGGAUCAAUUUUAAUUUAACACCUUCUCACAACUUUGUCUUCAGUUGUGAUGUAAAUAUUAGCUCUGAUUAGCAAGGAAGUUAGUUUUUUAUUGUUUCCGAAAGAGCAUCGAUGGCAAGACACACGAAACAAAAGCUGAAAGCUCACACCAUUGUACAAUUUCAUGUCGAUGGAAAAUUAUUUGUAUAGUACAUCAAUUAUGUAAACAAAUGCUGGAAGCUUGAUAGCAUUGCUAGAAGCCUCUUCGGCAUCCGGGUCCAUGUGCCAUGCACAAAAUUAUACUCCUUCGCUCCUAAAUAUUUGUGUUUUUACAAAUUUCAAAUGGGCAUAUUUUAGAGUGUAGAUUCACUCAUUUUGCUUCGUAUGUGUACUCCCUCCGUUCCUAAAUAUUUGUCUUUCUAGAGAUUUCAAAAAGUGACUACAUACGGAGCAAAAUGAGUGAAUCUACACUCUAAAAUAUGUCUAUAUACAUCCGUAUGUAGUAGUCCAUUUGAAUCUCUAAAAAGACAAAUAUUUGAGUAGUCACUCGUUGAAAUCUCUAGAAAGACAAAUACUCCAGAGUAUAUUUAAGAACCGAGGGGGUAGUGCACAGCCGCAUGGGAGACUCAGACCGGUCGUUGCGCCGCAUUAAUAGUGAGUAAUGAGCAGUCAAAUCAUAAGCCCCACCUUUCCCACUGUAAGUUGCUCGGAAGAAGCAACCAUCAAUACGCUCUUCUUUGAAUCCGCUCAUACUACUCCAUCCGUCACUGUUUAUAGAGCGCGCAUCAGAAAAAGAGAAAAUCUCUGGGACCAAGGCGACUAGCGAUCGGCCUAAAAAAUAGCAUUGGUAGUUAUAGCACGACAUCUAUUACUAGAGGAAAUAAUGCGUACACACAUGCAUGCAGUGCUUCCACCCCGGGUACACACAUGCAUGCACUUACUCCACUCCGUAGUACUACAUCGAGAGAAAAUUGCGGUUACCACGCCCUAAUUAAUUGAGCAUUAAACCAAACGCGUCUAAAGUCUCUUUGGUGGUGGAAAUGCGUUGAGAGAAAUGCAUCAUAAUGAAGCGCGCCCUAUAAACUGUGACGGAGGGAGGAGUAGUAUGAAGGUGCAAAACCAAGUACGCGUAUGGCCAGUCGGGCAACGCACCUCCUCUUGGCAUAUCAGUGACAUGUGGGACCGGAGUGUGAGCAAACCGAUCUUAAUUGACGGCAAAAUGGCCAACCCGCCGUUCCUUGAGAGAGACGAGGAGCGAGAACACACAGACGGGCUCGCACGGAGGCCAAGAUAUAUUCGAGCAUGGUUGAUCGAUAUCAUCAUUACAUGUUGGGCUGCCGUUUUCCGCCCUUCUCCGGAAUAAAUGUGUACUUUAUGAGAGAUUAAAAAAAAUAAGAGUACAGAGGCUCCACCAUGCGGUUCUAGUAGUAGUACUACUCGUACUACUAAACCUUGCGCUUGGCUCUUCGCCUCUUCGUGAAGUCGAACAAUGAUGGUACUCCGCAUGUUCGGUACUACAGUGUAUGCCUCUGGCAAUCUGACACCGAAUGAACUGAUGCAUGUCCACCGCUUGGGCGAGGGUAUGUUGCAUUAGUCAAAAGGCGUAAGCGAGCUUCACCUUGUCCUGCAAGCUUCUCCUCGUUCUGCGAGUUGACGAGACACACCGACAAGUAGUGCUAGUCCAUACUCCCUCCUUUCCGGUUAAUAUGGCUUAAUCUUUUUUGCGGGUAAAUGAGAGAGCUUUAUUCAUAUAUAAGCAUUCUUAGGACGAUCAGCCAAGACACUGGUCACUAGGAAGCGAGGUACCCCGCCAAAAAAGAAGUAGGAAGCGAGGUGUUUCAUCAAGCCAGCUCUCGGCCACAUUCAAAGUGCAGCAAGCACAGUUCGCACAAAGAUGCGCCGCAAGGUUUGCUGACAUGUUUACAUGCUGAAUAACAAAAAAAGAGGAAAUAUUACCGAGCGCUCCUAUUUGUAACAACAUAUGAGCCAGAAUUAAGCGAGAAUUGUGGCGAGUGUUCCAUGCAAUCAACUACCAUUAUCACAUGCGAGAACCCUCGAAGAGAACCAAAUGUGUUGAAGAUUGCUUUAUCACAUUUUAAAUAUAUAAUAAGAGUGCAGACGCUCCUCCAUCCGGUUCCUAGUACUAGUAUAGUACAUACCUCUAUAGACUAUAGUAGUAGUACUAGUACUAGUAAACUUUGCGCUUGGCUGUUCGCCUCUUCGGGAAGUGCAACAAUAAUAGUACUAGUAUAGUGUAUGAUUCUGGCAAUCUGACACCGAAUUAACUGUUACACGUCCACCGCCUGAGUGAAGGAGAGCUUGCAUUAGUCAAAAGCUUCUCCUUGUCCUGCGAGCCACCGCACGCAAGCUUCUCCCGUCCUGCAAGCUUCUCCUCGUCCGGCAAGUUGACGGGACACAGCAAAGUAAUGCCAGUCCAUACUGCCUCCUCUCCGGUUAAUAUGGCUUAAUUUCAAACGAGAUAAAUAGACUGUCUGUCACUGUAUAUUUGUAAAAAUACGGUCAGUAGACUUCAUAAUACACUCAUUGCGCUCAAUAUAUACAUUUUCCAGUGUUUAUACAGUCACUAGCUCACCCUGGCUAAGUAUGUGUGUGCAUGCACGUGUAGGUUGAGCACUUGAGCGUGACCGUGUGUGUUCCGUCGUGUGGUCGGACAUGCAUGCAUUAGGGCGUCGCGCGCGUUUUUGCGUCCAUGUGUACGUGUGAAUGUUGCAUACACGUAGGGGGAGUACGUGUAGGGGCCACUAAAGGAGCAGUCAAAUCACACAUUAAGUUAGUCGGAAGAAGCAACCAUCAUUUCACUUUUCAAUGACACGUACACAAUAUAAAAUGGUUGAUAUGGAGAGAAAAAGAAAACCACUAUAUAUACACUAGCAGGAGCCUAAGCUACAAGCGUGCUUGCUUGGGUUGCUCUCUUCACAAGCAUAGAACGACGGUGGCCACACCGCUGGUCACAUAUCCGGCCUGAUCCCGCAGCUGGGGGAAGGGAACAAUGUUCUACAUAGACACGGUCGACAUCGGCGAAGGAGAAACUCCACAGUCGGUGCGUCCCAAUCGGGGGUCACCGCGGUAUGGGCCGAUGCCGCGUCCCAACCGCCCUUCUAGCUACAGCCCGACGUCCCAGGUAGUCCAUCUUCCUUUUGGAGCCGGCUUACUCCACUGCCGCAGCUCCCCACGUAGCUCCAUCUCCAUGUCGAUCUUUCUCUACUUCUAUCGGCUUCUACUUGUGAUGAGUUUAUGUCUCAUGAACUAGUGCCAGUACUAUUAUUCUAAUCACACUUCUUCAAUAAUCUUUGCCAUCAGGGAUGCUUAGCUCGAUUUUAGUGGAACUGCACAAAAGCAUCGUAUGAUUCGAGGGUGCCAGCCGUCUUUCCUUCAACAGGUUCUACCUGGCCAGGAAAUUAAAUCCUGUUUAGGGAUUUGGGUUUAAGUCGUAGUGACCCCAUCAGUAGUUUUUCUUUCGUACACGCUCUCACAACUUUUGUCUUUAGUUGUGAAGUAAAUAUUGGCUAUGAUCUGUGAAUCAUUGAGAUGCAUCAGCAUGCGUGUUAGUUUUCCUUUGAAUUUGAUGGAAUGUUGUAACGGGGCAACCUUGGAGUUGGAAUGAAAAUGGAGUGGAAAGUUUCCGUUUUUCCGGAGAAAAAAUGGAAACUGAGAGAAACCAACGUUUCGUUUCAUUGGAUUGCACCAUCGAGAAAAACCAACAUUUAAAUCACGUAUGUCGCGUUCGUGUCCGACCCUCCUCCACGGCUCGACCCCACACGGUCGCUCGGCAUGCCACUCACCGCAAACCGAGUAUACGAUAACUUUCCCGCCUGCUUGUCGAUGGAUCGCGCCAUGGAGUACUAGUAAUACUGGAAGAGAUUGACGAGUUGGGGGAGGACAGCUAGCUGUAGCACGGACUCCCAAGAACUUUUUAUAUGCAUGUUGUGGCUGGCCAUUGCGACCUUUGAACGCGGAGCAGUCGCGUGCACCAGGAAGCGGCAGGGGCGACGCUCUCUCGGCCGAUGCACCACUUCAAUGCCGGCGCCAGUGAGAGGUCGUGUCUGCUCUGGCCGGGCAUGAAUGCGGCACUGACUGUUUCGGGUGGGAAGGACGCGCGGGUGAUGAAGAGGGUCCGGGUUGGUCAGGAGCGGCCGUGGCAGCGGUCCGGACGCUCGCAAACAAGAGAUGUUGUACGUUAAUAUUGCCGCUUAUAUAAUUAACAACGUAAAUAAUGUGCCAGUUGGACAAAUAUGAUUGGAGAUGAAGAUGGAAAUGGAGUUUUACGUAAACACAGAUAUGCAUGUCUAUGUCUACGUGUGUGUGCGCGAUGACUCUCGCGACCUGGAAGCGGGGGCGUGUUUUUGAUCGAGUUUUCUUUCUUGGUACAUUAAAAAAUUGUCCGCCAGUUUUCGUUUCUUUUUUCCGGGAACGUGCGUAUUCUAUUUAAAACCACUGCUAUGGAGAGAUUGUUUUGCUCCAUUAUAGCCUCUUGUUUGAUAGUGUUUCUCGCGUCUCGCUCUCUCACCCUCUCCAUAUCAAAACAAGAUGACAGUGUCCACACUAUCUCUCUUCUCACAUGUGGUCACAGAUACGGCCGAAUCCCUUCCGCUGCGGGAGGUGAGGAGGUGCAGCAUUGACGUUGUCGCCGUCGGCGAUGGAGGAAGCCGAUGCGCACCGUCCUCUCGGAGCCGGCGCUGGCGCGGAUGAAGGUCUUCUGCGCCCUUGUUCGCUGCCGUCGUGUGGGCAGAUCCCGCCCGCCCGCCUAAGCGACAUCUCGCCCACCUGAGGUAUAAAUUCUUGUAAUGGUCCAACUCCCCAGGUCGAUGCAUGCGGAUUUUCUUCUAUGCGACUACUCCCCAGCUCCCCAUGUAUAGUAGCUAGGGUUUGUCGGCUGGUCCAACAUCACCUACUAUUAUAGAGGAAAUGCCACUCGAAAAGUUGUCCUGAUUUAUGCCUCGGUGGAGGUAUACAUUUUGUUUCGACAAAAAGUACAUGGUGGUUGUGCGGUCAUUGUCCAUAUGCUCCUAUUGCUGCUGCUAAUCUAAUACUUUCACUGGUUAAAUGAAGAAAUGUUUUUUUUCUCGAGUAUCCUGGUUUAGUUCCAUCAAGAUAAUCAUGAUGCUUCUGUUUGUUGGUGUACUUUUCAUAAUUCUUAUUGACAAUUGAGAUGUCGUUGUUAAUCUUGUAAAACAAAAUAACAACACUAUAUCCCUUUUUUAUAUUUUUGGAAACAGCGAUGCGUAUCUCUAUACCUGGGCAUGUCUUCCUCAAUUUUAGUGGAACUGCACAAAAUUGGAUGGCCAUUGUUGUUCCGCCUCACUGUCCUCUGCCACGUGGUUGUUCCUUCCUUGAGUUUGACUACUGAGAAGAAACAGACCACAGUGAGGAUUUUGUCGAACUUCAUAGGUGCCUCACCCAAACUUGAUGCCAAAUGGAUGAUGCAUCACCACAAUGACCUAUCGAUGCUCAUGGUAGCGCCUCAUGGUUGCGUCGGCUGGUGAAGCUGAUCGAUUUUUAAUGAAAAACAAGUUGUCUUCCAUCUGUGCUCUUUGCUUGUUACCCACAAAGAUGAUAUCCUUCGUCAGUUCACCUUGGUUGCGUUGGAGACGCAGUCGUCUUUCACGUUGGUGCAAUUUUAUCACACAAUUGGCUAUGUACCAAAUGUUUCCUCGAAGAAUGAUCGACGUUGAUACUAAGAGCAUAAAUUUUGUAUUGAUUUCUAAGCCUUCUCACAACUUUGUGUCCAGCUCCCCUGUAAUUUUAUUUGUCCAACUAUUAACUUUGAUUAAAAAAAUGGUGUGGACUAAAAACCCGGAUGGACGUAGUAGCCCUCCAUUUUUAUUUACUCCGCAUAUUAGAUAUGACUAAAGUCAAACUUUGUAAAGUUUGACCAAGUUUAGGCCGAACACAACAAACCAAAAUUAUUAGAGAGGGCAAAAUGUACAUACUCUCAAACCUUUCCGAUAAUUGAAAUUAAAAUUCUUUAUUUGUACACACUCUCACACGUUUCCGAUAAUUUGGCGCAUGUGUGGUUGUUCACUUAAGGGAGGGUAGUGUACCGCACGUGAAGGACAGGAAGUGUGACCAGGACGCGUGGAUCGUUAGUUCAUCGGAAGUACUCCCUCCGUUCCUAAAUAUUGUCUUUCAAGUGGUUUGCAAUGGACUACCACAUACGGAUGUAUAUAGACAUUUUUUACAGUGUAGAUUCACUCAUUUUGCUCCGUAUGUAGUCAUUUGUUGAAAUCUCUAGAAAGACAAAUAUUUAGGAACAGAGGGAGUAUUAGUUUUCUUCACCGGUACAUUAAAUAAAGAGUUUCGUUCGUACUUACACAAUUUAAAAUGAUUGUUAUGGAGAGAAUAAGAAAACCACUCCACUAUAUAUUAGUCGUAUACACAAGUACUAUAUGGACGCAGCUUCAUUGACUUUAGUACACCUGCCUUUGGGUUUAUGACAGGUCGGCCCAAAAUGUGGCUGGCCCACCUGUCAUACAGCCAAAAGCAGGUGCAGUUAAGGCACCGGAGCUCAGUCCGUACUACAGUAUAUAUAUAAGCUGGAGCCUCAGCUAUUGUUCACUAGGGUUUGCACUCUCCACACUCUCGCCGCACUACUUAUAUAUAUAUAUAUAUAGACACACGCUGGAGGCUCAGCGUUCCUUUGCUAGGGUUUGCUAUAUUCACUGUCUCUCACCCUCUUCACCAGAUCUAAACAAGACUGCGUUGUGGCCUCUGUCUCUCUCACCCCCCUCACAGCUGGCGAAGGAGGCAUACAGAUCCCGUCGCACCGGGAAGGGGAGGAGGUGCAGCGUUCACUCUAUCGCCUUCGGCGAGGGAUGCAAUCCACUGCCGGCUGCGCUUUUCUCUUUCACCCAGCGCCUGUGCGGGAGGGCCACCGACCCCUUCUUCCUCGCUGUUGUACGUAGUGUGGGCAGAUCCGACCUCCCGCCGCACGCCUUGCCACAUCCCGACGAUCCUAAGGUAUAAGUUUCUUUGAAACCGUCAUUGGUCUAGCUGCAUGCUGAUCUUUUUCGAUUCUGUAGUCGAAUCUAGGUCUUGGUUCAAAGAGGAAAGAAGGGUGCGGUGGGGUGGAGCAUGAAUCUAGGACGUGGUUCAAUGAGGAAAGGUGGGAGGGAAAGUAGUAUAGACUAGCUAUCUAGCCGCUUUGUUGGUAGAAAAGUGAAAAAGGGGGUAACCCAGUACACACAUCUGUAAGGAACCGAACUCUUUGUUGAAAAUUAGGGAAAGAAACUGGGGGGCGGGUAGUUUGUGCAGGACUAGAUUUGCUGCCCUCACAUCGGAAAAAGUUUCAAAGAGAACAAAUAUGGGACCAACGCAGAUAUGCUGCUUGGCUACAUACUCUGCAUCACCCAUUUAUACGUGUGGACGCACAUGGUGCUGGCAUGUCCCAUGUCCCAUCCACAUGAUCGUGCAGUGUGUUUUGAGAUGUUGUGCUACUUGUAUUGGUACUGUUUUAAAUAAAUGUUGAAUUGAAGCUAUUGUAUUGCUGUCUUUUCCCAUUAAGUAGUGAACAAAAAUGGGACCAACCCAGACAUUAUGCUUGUUGCUUUGUUACAAUAAACUCUGCAUCACCCCCUUUAUAAGUAGAUGGAAGCACAUGUUGUUGUUGCGCCCACUCUCCCCUGGAACUGUUUAUGCUUUUUGUUAAUCUAAUGCCGCUGGUAAAAUUAAGCAAUGCCACUCUCAGAAUUAACUACUGAAUCUUAUUUCAAAACUGCAACACUUGUUAGGGAUUGGCGGGAUUAGCAUUUUUGUGGCCGCAUGUUUCAUCCUCCUUUAUUAGCCAGUAAUUGAUUCCUUUUUUGCCUCUGUUAAAACAGGGAUAACUAUUCAACUUGUUGCUAUUGUGACAUUUUGCUUCGCUUAAUUUUGGUGGAACUGCACAAAAUGAGACCGGAUUUCCAUAUAUGUGUUGAGAUCUCUCUCAGGUCUUCCUCACGAGUUGUUUCAAAUCUUGGUCUUGAAAGGUCAGUACCGACUUUCCUCAAAAUUAACUACUGAAUCUUAGUUCAAAACUGCAACACUUGUUAGGGAUCGGUGGGAGUACCAUUUCUGUUAGGGAUCGGCCGGAGUACAUAUUUAAGAAAUGUAUUGUUCAGAUAAUGUCUCUGUUAUUAUAUAUCAGUUAUAGUGUUUUACAAAUGGUACUAUCCUGCUUUGUAGUUCUUUCUACAUGUUUAACCAAGGUAUUGUUAAGAUAAUGUCUCUGUUAAAAUGAAUCUGUCGCAUUGUUUUAGGAAUGAUACUUUUCUGCUUUGUCGUUCUUUAUACAUGUUGAAACAAGGCAUUGUUAAGAUAAUGUCUCAGUUAAUAUGAAUGAAUCACACUGAUUCAGAAUUGCUACUCUCCUGCUUUGUUUCCCAUUAAGAUAAGGUAGAUCAGUAGAUGUUUUUCUUCUGGGAGUACAAGUCAUCAACCAUUAUUUCUCAGUAAUUGUUUCCCUUAUACCUUUUGUUGCUUACAGGGAUAUCAAAAUUAAAGCUCGGUUUUAUUCCGACUUUGAUUUUAGUUGAACUGCACAAAAGGAGCCAAUGUGUCUAAGGCAAACUACUGCAUUAGUGGGUCCAGUUGGUCUUACCACUUUGUAGAAAGAAGCAGUCACUGUUUCGCUACAUUACACAAGGAAUGAUCGAGAAGCUUUUCAGAGUAUUAGUAGAUGCUGGUGACAUGACUAGUCUACAGAGAGCAUAGGAAACUCUACAACAUGUGGAGUGCACUGGGCAAAAAGUGCCCAAACAAGUACAGGAAGCCAGGACAGGACUCCAAAUCUGUCAAUGUCAUUCUAAGCAACAAUGAUGGGGCAUCUGGGUAUGGUAAUCUGUUUACCGUACUUUCAGUUUGUUAGUCCACCGAUUGGUGGGUUGACACUGGGCCAAAUAUUCAUGUGUGUGCUGCUGUGUCUUUGUUUUCUUGCAGCAUAUAAAUACGAUAUCCAUAGGGAUGCUCAGCUUGAUUUUAGUGGAACUGCACAAAAUGUCCAGAUGGUUUGUGUCCUCCAUAAUACUUCAUCAUGCACAAUACAUCGAAUGGUUUUCUAAUCAUUCGUCGUCACCUUGAGCCACCGGACUAUAUGUUCGAAUGGUGCUGCCAGCGUCGGCCAUUAAUAAGGGUAAGAAGAAAGACAAAAAGAGAGAUGGUUGCUUUACUUGUGGUUCGGAGGAACACUGGGCAAACAAGUGCCCAAACAAGUACCAAGAAGCCAGGACAGGACUCCAAGUCUGUUAAUGUCACUCUAAGCAACAAUGAUGGGGCAUCUGGGUAUGUUAAUCUGUUUACUGUACUUUCAGUUUGUUAGUCCACCGAUUGGUGGCUUGACAUUGGGGCCAAUAUUCAUGUGUGUGCUGAUGUGUCUUUGUUUUCUGGCAGCAUAUAAAUACGAAAUCCACAGGGAUGCUCAGCUUGAUUUUAGUGAAACUGCACAAAAUGUUCAGAUGGUUCGUGUCCUCCAUAAUACUUCACAUCAUGCACAAUACAUCGAAUGGUUCUCUAAUCAUUCGUCGUCACCUUGAGCCACCGGACUAUCAGAUGACAAACUGAUGACAAACCCUGCCCGUUCCACAAUCAUAGGCAUUACAUAUUUUGAAUGGGAAAAGCUUGUCAAAGUUGACAUUAGUUUAAUAUAUAGGAAUUGGAAAACCUUGUCAAUUUUUGCUCAUUGAUGUUAGCCAGAAGACAUGCAUUUGAUAUUUUUGAGUGGGACGCCCUUUGCUGUGAGCAACGUCGAUCGUUUUUUCCUAUUCCUGUCUUCAGUUCAGAAGUAAAUAUUUACUCUGCUGAGAUGCAUAGUCACAUGAAUGUUGACUUAUGUAAGAUAUUUUAAGAGUUUGUUCUGAAUAUUGUCUAUGUAAUGCCAGGCCUUGUGUUUGAUUGCAAAGAUGAGCUUGAAUGUUGUGGCAUGCGGCAUCACGAGCUGUUCACCAUGCCUCCUGAGAAUAAUGCUUUGUAUUAUUUUGCAUGUCGAUCUAAUGCUAGUGAUUUGCUUGUUAGGAAGAUCAUCCUCUUCUGCUGUUUCCGUGCUUAAGAAGUUCAUCGUCUUAUGUUUCAUUCAUAGCCUAUACGACAAGUCGGGUAGGUUAGACGUGAAACCAUAUGAUCUUCCGACCAACUCAUCAUCUUAGGCCAUGAUUGGAUCGUCGUUUUCCAACCAAAACCGCUUGUAAAACUGACGCUUGCAAAUAAAAGCAGAUGGUCUCGGGCGAAGCGCUUGGUUGGUCGAUUUCGACUAGCAAUAUAUACACCGGUCUCUCAAAUUACACGCGUAACUCGCCGGUUUUACUUACAGACUUCGGUCCCUCGGUUUCAUUACGCCUGUAUUUUACGCGUUGUUUCCGAUGACGAGUAAAUUACACUUGUAUCUUAAUAGAGGUGUGAAAUAAACCAGAGCUCCCAAGCACGGCCUUACCGUUUCAUGCCGUCUCAGUCUCUCGAAGGUGCUCAUAGGUGUCCGCUGAUCCUGGCUUCCUGAAUGAGCAGCGGGCGCUGUAUCGGACCAUCCGUAGGGCCCACGAGGCCCUCUCCGUCGUCCUUCGAGUUGUUGCGCUCGCCGUGGCGCCGAGCAUUGUUAACAUGGUCAAUGAACAUGAGGAUUCAUGAGAUGACUUUAUUUUGAUUGGAUGACAGUAGGGACACACUAGGGCCAUAGCCGUACGUACGCAAGUGCCUCCUUAUUAUGUACAACUAUAUUUUUUUGCUUCCUCCUGGUUUCCUGCCAUCACGGUCCCACACCAUUGUCAACCUAUGUAGUCAAUAUAAACGAGAGAAUUGCACAAGGUGCGGCCGACAGCUGAGACCAAGCACGUCGAGUAGUAUUUGUGUUUUUGAGGCGUGAGCACUGCAGAGUUUUUCUUGGCGAUGUUUUCGUUGUUGUUCAGAGGAGAGAAGGGUAUUAACUGGGCGAGCUGUGGCCCGUCUAGCCCAGGACAGAUAUCCAGCCCAGAUAUUAAUUUUUUUUUAAGAUGAAAAUGGCUAGCCCAGCUAUACGUUUUUUUAGGAAUACCCAGGCAAGGUCAACUUGUUAUUCUUCACCCCGCUGGGCUGCAAAUCUUUCCUAGGAGGGAUGCAUUAGGCUUAACAGGAAAAUGGGCUUUAAAAAAUAAUAAAUGAGAUGUAAUUAUAAAAACUAGGCAGUAACUAUAAAAAAUGCACCAAGCACGAAAUUAGUUUAUAAAAUAUUAUUUAUGGAUUUUGAAAAUCUUAAUUUUUAAUUGUUGUGCACGCAAUGUUUCGUUAGAUUUUUACGUAAUACAAAUUUAUAUUUAAUCUGACUAGAAAUUUUGGGAUAAAAAUAUUUCGGAUCCCAUCAAAAUGUGGGAAAUUUUAUUGAAUUCUGUCUUGAACGGUUGGUUGAAAUUAUUAAUCGUUGUCCUAGCUAGAAAAUGGGUUGUACUUUUAACAAACUGUAAAUGAGCUGUAGUAAAUUCCAUUAGAAUUCAAAAAUGGACUCUACAUUCUUACGAAUCGCAAAUGGGCUAUAAGUUCUCUGCCACACACUUGUGGGCCUACUAAGUUGACGCGUCCCCUAAAAAAAGAAGUUGACGCGUAUGCAAGGCUUUGUCAACUUAUUAUAGUCAACACACGGUUCUAGCAGCAGUGGCCAUUGGAUGUCCAUCCAACGGAUGCCGUGCUUCUUCUUCAAUCUCGGAUAUUCUAGCUUCACCCGCCCAAAAAAUGAUUCCUCCCCCUGACAUCUGGGGUGCACCGUUUCGGAAGCUGACCUGUGGGCCUACUAAGUUGACGCGUACCAAGGGCUUUGUCAACUUAGUCAAUAUGAACGAUUCUAGCUGCAGCGACCGUACGAUGUCCAUCCAACGGCCGUAGUGCUUCUUCAACCUCUGGUCUUCUUGCUCCAUCCGCCCAAAGCAGCGCCGGUCGUGCCGCUUGCUCCUGCCUCCCGUGGCCGGCUGUGCUGCCGCGGAGGCCCCACCGCCCCCUACUACUCCCACCGCUGGCCAGGCUAUCCCUCCACUCACCCACACCCCCUGUUGUUCUGCAGCGACCGCAGCCUCACACCGCAGCCGAACCAGUGAACCCUCGUACUCCUCUCCGUGCGGGCUUCCACUACCGCGUCUUCCCCGGCUCCUCGUCGUCCCCUUCCUAGGCCUCACCGUCGUCCACCGCCCUGGUGCUCUUGGCGCGGCGUGGUCAACGUGGUCAAGGAACGACUUUCAUCGGAAGAGUACUGUACGUGGAGAGGCUGACAGCUGGGUCCAGGGCGGCCGCAAGGAAGUGCCUCCUUAUUACACGCAAAAUAAUUAUUCCUCCACCAGACAGCAGGGACCCAUCGGACGGGCCACCGUAUUUCGCGAAAAAAACGUUUCCCCCUGACUACUGGGACCCACCAGCUACAUCUUCGCACGCAAGGAAAUGCGUCCGGGCAAAAAAACGAUUCGCCCCCUGACUGCUGGGACCCACCAGCUACACCUUCGCAGGCAAGGAAGUGCCUGACAGUCGGGACCCACCUGGUCGAAGCGUAUGUAGCGUUGUCAUUCUGGUCGCGAACGUGUACGUACAUACUGGUCGAUGUAGAGGCGCGCACGUGUCGUAGUAGAGGCACGCACGUAGCAUGUACACGUACGUACAAUGGCCAGUGUGUAAGAAAGAAAAUACGGCCAGGUACGUACAUCCGGGCAGGGUCUCGAACGCCUACUCCCGCAUACGUAUGGCCAGGGCUCGUGUACAUGGCUGGGUCGGAAUAGAGAAACUGUGUCGUCGUCGUGUUCAUGGGGAGCCAACCGGCUGGGUCGGAACGGAAUGCGUCGUCGUGUUCAUCGGGAGGGCUUGGACAGAACAGCCGAUGGAAACGAGGCUCGGCGUACCGCAGAACGGAGGAAACGGCCUUGUGUUCGACCGGCCACGGUCGAAACGGGAUCCUGUUCAUCGGGAGGGGUUUGGCAUACCGCAAAACGGAGGAAACGGACCUCCUACGGUCGAAACGGGGGUCCUGUUGAUCGGGAGGGGUGUGGCGUACCGCAAAACGGAGGAAACGGACUUGUGUUGGAGCGCUACGGUCGAAACGGGGGUCCUGUUCAUCGGGAGGGGUGUGGCGUACCGCAAAACGGGACUCCACGGGAUACUGUUCAUCUCCACCGUCGACCCCCUCUAGCCUCCACGGGCUACUGUUCAUCCACCGUCGACCUCCUCCAGCCUCCACCUGCGACUGUUCAUCCACGGGCUCCUGUUCAUCCAGCCUCCACCGCACGCUACUCCACUGGCUACUGUUCAACCUGCCCUCUCCACGGGCUCCUAUUCAACCACCCCUCCACUGGCUACUGUUCAUCUAGCCCUCCACCAUCUACUGUUCAUCCAGCCCUCCACGGGGUGGUCCUAUUCAUCCAGCCCUCCACGGGGUCCUGUUCAUCCAGCCCCAGCCGGCUCGAUCGAUCGGGGUCAUGUUCAUCCAGAGGCAACACCACGGGGUCCUGUUCAUCCACCCCACUGGGAACUGUUCAUCCAAACCCCCCAGCAACGCUCACUGUUCAUCCAGAGGCAGCAUCGAUCGGCUUCAGUUAGCAGCAGUAGCGAAGGAAUCGCUCGAUCGGGUUCAGUUAACAGCCAUCGAUCGAUCGCUCGGGUUCAGUAACGCGUAGCCUACAGUGCAAUCGCUCGGGUUCAGUUAGAACCCAAUGCCUCGUUCGGGUUCAGUUAGAGCCCAACGCCUCGCACCCACGCGCGUGCGUGUACGAGAGAAACGCAAAUCGCUCGGCCCCGACCACCCACCGUAACCGGGAACACCCCGAUAUUUUCCUCGCCCCCGCUUCUACCACGGUUUUUUCCGUCAUGGACGGCCCAAAGAAUGUCAUGCAGCUGCGUCUCCGGCCCGCUUAGGACGAAAAGCCCAUUUUCUGUCAUGAUUUUUUGUCAUAGAAGUAGGACCCCACCACAUCUAUGAUGAUACCGCGUUUUGUCACAAUUAUCGUCAUAGAAGUGUCAUAAGUAUGACAUAAAUUUUUUUCGUUCGGCCCAAAAUGUCACGGAUGUGUCUUUUUUUUGUAGUGAUGCCAUGCGGGUGAAAUGAUGAUACCAUGCCAAGUUUCAACCUUUUCAGGGUUCAUUUGUAGUGCUUUACAAUUUCAGGGCCAUUUAGCUCAAAACAAAUCAGUAAAUGCAUUAAAAAUAGCAAAUUAUGUUAGAAAGGGUUGAAAGUUGAUGACGUGGCUUUGAAUGGCGCCUGCUGAACGCAAAAAAAGUCCGGAGUUGUAAUAAGUUAUUAAAAUUUUGAAUUGCCGGUCUAAUAGAUGAGUUUUCGUCCGAAACCCUGAUACUUCGAUAGAGAUUGUCCAGUUUGUACACGAAGUGCAUCAAGUUUUUGCCGUAACCCUCUCUACUUUUUUGCACAUGCUAUGCGGGUGAAAUGAUGAUACCAUGCCAAGUUUCAACCUUUUCAGAGUUCAUUUGUAGUGCUUUAUAAUUUCAGGGCCAUUUAGCUCAAAACAAAUCAGUAAAUGCUUUAAAAAUAGCAAAUUAUGUCAGAAAGGGUUGAAAGUUGAUGACGUGGCUUUGAAUGGCGCCUGUUGAACGCAAAAAAAGUCCGGAGUUGUAAUAAGUUAUUAAAAUUUUGAAUUGCCGGUGUAACAGAUGAGUUUUCGUCUGAAACCCUGAUACUUCGAAAGAAAUUGUCCAGUUUGUACACGAAGUGCAUCAAGUUUUUGUCGUGACCCUCUCUACUUUUUUGCACAUGCUAUGCGGGUGAAAUGAUGAUACCAUGCCAAGUUUCAACCUUUUCAGAGUUCAUUUGUAGUGCUUUUCAAUUUCAGGGCCAUUUAGCUCAAAACAAAUCAGUAAAUGCAUUGAAAAUAGCAAAUUAUGUCAGAAAGGGUUGAAAGUUGAUGACGUGGCUUUGAAUGGCGCCUGCUGAACGCAAAAAAGUCCGGAGUUUGAGAGGACAGAGUGAGGGUGUAAACAUGUAAAAAUAUACAUAAAAAUACAUUGAUCAUUAAUGAUCUUUUUGUGUACAAUCUGAAUUGUCAAUAUGAGUCCUCAACGGUUUACAAACCGGUGAAGACUCAUAUUGCGGCCACAAAUUCUACACAAAGAGUUCAAUGAAGACCAAGUGCUUGUGAUAGUUUGAGAAGUAACAUAUUUAAGGUGGUAAAAACCCUGUUAGCCGAGCGAGGUGGGACUAAAAAACAGCUGCAACUACAAUCCUCUAGUACCGGUUUGUGGAAGGAACCGGUACUAAAGGCGCCGGUGGGGCCCCAGCCGGACCACGGCGUGCCACAUCCUCUUUAGUACCGGUUCUUGCCACAAACCGGUACUAAAGGUUCGCAACGAACCGGUAUUAAUUAGCUCCGCCCGCCUAGCCGUUCGAACCGGCACUAAUGGACACAUUAGUGCCGGUUUUGUUACAAACCGGUACUAAUGUGCUUCACAUUAGGCCGUUUUUCUACUAGUGUCCUACUAGAUUGAUAUCUUGGUUCUCAAAACUGAGGGAAAUACUUAUGGUCCUUUGCUGCAUCACCCUUUCCUCUUCAAGGGAAAAACCAACGCAAGCUCAAGAGGUAGCAGGAGGGCGCGCCCUAGGGGGGACGCCCCAUACCUUGUGGGCCCCUCGGUGACUGCUUGACCUAGAUCUUCCUCCUAUAUAUUCACAUAUAUUCCCAAACCACCAGAGGCAUCCACAAAAACACUUUUCCACCGCGGCAACCUUCUAUUCUCGUGAGAUCCCAUCUUGGGGCCUUUUCCGGCAUCUUGCCGAAGGGGGAUUCGAUCACGGAGGGCUUCUACAUCAAUUCUAUUGCCCAUCCGAUGAAGCGUGAGUAGUUUACCUCAGACCUACGGGUCCAUAGCUAGUAGCUAGAUGGCUUCUUCUCUCUCUUUGAUUCUCAAUACCAUGUUCUCCUCGAUGUUCUUGGAGAUCUAUCCGAUGUAAUCUUCUUUUGCGGUGUGUUUGUCUAGAUCCGAUGAAUUUUGGAUUUAUGAUCAGCUUAUCUAUGAAUAUUAUUUGAAUCUUGUCUGAAUUCUUAUAUGCAUGAUUUGAUAUCUUUGUGUUUCUCUUCGAACUAUCGGUUUGGUUUGGCCAACUAUAUUGAUUUUUCUUGCAAUGGGAGAGGUGUUUAGCUUUGGGUUCAAUCUUGCGUGAUUUCUGCGAGACACAUAUUGAAUUGUUGCCACCAAGGGUAAAAAGAUGGGGUUUUCAUCAUAUUGCUUGAGUUUAUUCCUCUACAUCAUGUCAUCUUACUUAAGGCAUUACUCUGUUCUUUAUGAACUUAAUACUCUAGAUGCAUGCUGGAUAGCGGUCGAUGUGUGGAGUAAUAGUAGUAGAUGCAGGCAGGAGUCGGUCUACUGACACGGACGUGAUGCCUAUAUGCAUAAUCAUUGCCUUGGAUAUCGUCAUAACUUUGCGCUUUUCUAUCAAUUGCUCGACAGUAAUUUGUUCACCCAACGUAUUAUUUGCCUUCAUGAGAGAAGCCUACAGUGAAACCUAUGCCUCCAGGGUCUAUUUUCCAUCAUAUUAGUUUCAGAUCUACUAUUUUGCAAUCUUUUAUUUUUAGAUCUAUAAACCAAAAAACCCAAAAAUAUUUACUUUAUAUUUUGUUUAGUUUUAUCUAUCUCUAUCAAAUCUCACCUUUGCAAGUGACCGUGAAGGGAUUGACAACCCCUUUAUCGCGGUGGGUGCAAGUGUUUUAUUUUUUGUGUAGGUAUUGGUGAUUUGUGUGUUGUCUCCUACUGGAUUGAUACCUUGGUUCUCUAACUGAGGGAAAUACUUAUCUCUACUUUGUUGCAUGACCCUUUCCUCUUUAAAGGAAAAACCAACGCAAGCUCAAGAAGUAGCAGGAAGAAUUUCUGGCGCCGUUGCUGGGGAGAUCUACGCCAAGUCAAGACAUAUCAAGUACCCAUCAUAAAACUAUCAUCUCUUGCAUUACAUUAUUCGCCAUUUGCCUCUCAUUUUCCUCUCCCCCACUUCUAAAACGAUUUUCGAAAAUAUUUGCCUUUUUUUCGCCCCUCUUCCAUUCGUCUUCGUUGCUUUUGGUUUGCUCGUUGCUAGAUCGAUUUGUUGCCACCAUGUCUGGAUCUGGGGAGAUUAUCGCUGAAAAGGAUAGUAGUAACGAUGGGGGAAACUUUGAUGCUUUUACUAAUUUUAAUCCUCAUGAAGAAUCUACUAUCAUGCACAUCACAUAGGGAGUGGCAAUAUUAUUGGAAAAGGGGUUAUUCAAGAUUUCUUUACUUGUGCCAGUGCAUUACCCACGUUAGGUGGAUCGAUUCUCCAUAAAACUAGCAGUCUCACUGAUGCUAUAUCUUUGCUUGUGGUUGAACUUGAAAGACAAUUUGUUCAUAUGCAUCCAUGCAUACAAAGGAUUUUUCUAGAGUUUUCUAAUAUUGAGCAUUAUAAAAGAAGCUAGUGAAAUUUUCACGCAUUAUAAAAUAGAUGGUGGUUGACCUCCCAUAGAGGGGAUUCUCUUUAACAAAGAGGAAAUAAUGCGUUUAUGAUCUCUAGAUCAUGUUGCUUAUAAUGAAAAAUUAAGAAAGAGGGUCCCUACCGAUAUUUUAGUUCAUAAGAUUUCUGAACUUAAUGAUAAUUUUGCUAUACAAAACAACGGAUUGGGUUACUCUCUUGGACAUAAGCUCAUGACUUUUUUCCAAAAUAAUGCUUACAGUGAUGAAUUGGUCAUACAAUAUGAGGGGCCAAAGGAGGAACCAAUUCCUCCCAAACUUGAUCUUAGGGAUCCUUAUCCCAUUAAAUUUAGCCCUUUUGAUUACUUUUGCUUGCCACAAAGAAAACUUGCUGCUGAACGAAGGGAGUAUGAGAUGAGCUUUUGAGAUUUGCCUUAUUAUUACUACGACAAUACGUAGAUCUAUGUGUUUUUAUGCCUAGCUAAGGGCGUUAAACAAUAACGCUUGUUGGGAGGCAACCCAAAUUUAUUUUUGAGUUUUUUGUUUUGCUACUGUUCUUGAAUAAAAUACAUAUUACCUCUGUAGUAAUUGUGUUUUGGUGUUUUAAUUAGUGUUUGUGCCAAGUAAGACCUUUGGGAUGGCUUAUGGUGAUAGUUGAUUUGAUCUUGCUGAAAACAGAAACUUUUGCGCUCAGAAAAACAAUUCUCAUUUUUAACAGAAUCAUGAUAAAGUACUGAUUCUUUUUUGCAUAAGAUUGAGAUACAAAUUGCCUCUGUUGUCCUUACUUUUCAGAAUUUUUGGAGUUACAGGAGUAUUCGAGAGUUACAGAUUGCUACAGACUAGUCUGUUUUUGACAUAUUUUUGUUUUCUCUGUGUUGUUUGCUUACUUUGAUGAAUCUAUGGGUAAUAUCGGGGGGUAUGAACCAUGGAAAAGUUGGAAUACAGUAGAUAUUACACCAAUUUAAAUUAAGAAUGAGUUCACAACAGUACCAUAAGUGGUGAUUUAUUUUCUUAUACUAACAGAUCUCAUGAGAUUUGCUGUUGAGUUUUGUGUUGUGAAGUUUUCAAGUUUUGGGUAAGGAUUUGAUGGACUAUGGCAUAAGGAGUGGCAAGAGCCUAAGCUUGAGGAUGCCCAAGGCACCCCAAGGUAAUAUUCAAGGACAACCGAGAGCCUAAGCUUGGGGAUGCCCUGGAAGGCAUCCCUCUUUCGUCUUCGUCUAUCGGUAAAUUUACUUGAGGCUAUAUUUUUAUUCACCAAAUGAUAUGUGUUUUGCUUGGAGCAUCUUGUAUGAUAUGAGUCUUUGCUUUUUUGUUUACCACAAUCAUCCUUGUUGUACAUACCUUUUGAGAGGUACAUGCAUGAAUCGUGAUUUAUUAGAAUACUUUAUGUACUUCACUUAUAUCUUUUGAGCUAGGCAAUUUUGCUCUAGUGCUUCACUUAUAUCUUUUUAGAGCACAGCGGUGGCUUUAUUUUAUAGAAAUUGUUGAACUAUCAUGCUUCACUUAUAUUAUUUCGAGAGUCUCUCUAAAUAGCAUGGUAAUUUGCUUUCAUUAUGAAUUAGUCCUAAUAUGAUGGAAAUCCAAGAGGGAUAUAAUAAAAACUUUCAUAUAAAGAGCAUUGAAUAGAUGAGAAGUUUGAUUCCUUGCAUUUGUUUUGAGAUAUAAAUAUGGUGAUAUUAGAGUCAUGCUAGUGAGUAAUUGUGGAUUGGUAGAAAUACUUGUGUUAAAGUUUUUGAUUCCCGUAGCAUGCACGUAUGGCGAGCCGUUAUGUCAUGAAGUCGGAGCAUGAUUUAUUUAUUGAUUGUCUUCCUUAUGAGUGGCGGUCGGGGAUGAGCGAUGGUCUUUUCCUACCAAUCUAUCCCUUAGGAGCAUGCGCGUAGUACUUUGUUUCAAUAACUAAUAGACCUUUGCAAUAAGUAUGUGAGUUCUUUAUGACUAAUAUUGAGUCCAUGGAUUAUACGCACUCUCACCCUUCCACCAUUGCUAGCCUCUCUAGUACCGCACAACUUUCGCCAGUGCCUUACACCUACCUUUUACCUUCCUCAAAACAGCCACCAUAUAUACCUACCUAUUAUGGCAUUUUCAUAGCCAUUCCGAGAUAUAUUGCCAUGCAACUUUCCACCGUUCCAUUUUAUUAUGACACGCUCCAUCAUUGUCAUAUUGCUUUGCAUGAUCGUAAGAUAGCUAGCAUGAUGUUUACAUGGCUUGUCCGUUUUUUUGAUUCCCUUUGCUACGCUAGAUCAUUGCACAUCCCGGUACACUGCCGGAGGCAUUCAUAUAGAGUCAUAUUUAUUUCUAAGUAUCGAGUUGUAAUUCUUGAGUUGUAAGUAAAUAACAGUGUGAUGAUCAUCAUUAUUAGAGCAUUGUCCCAUGUGAGGAAAGGAUGAUGGAAGCUAUGAUUCCCUCACAAGUUGGGAUGAGUCUUCGGACUUUACAAAAAAAGGCCAAGAAGCCCACCAAAAUAAAAAAUAUAAAAAAUGAGAGAAAAGAGAGAAGGGGCAAUGUUACUAUCCUUUUUCCACACUUGUGCUUCAAAGUAGCACCAUGAUCUUCAUGAUAGAGAGUCUCCUAUGUUAUCACGUUCAUAUACUAGUGGGAUUUUUUCAUUAUAGAACUUGGCUUGUAUAUUCCAAUGAUGGGCUUCCUCAAAUUGCCCUAGGUCUUCGUGAGCAAGCGAGUUGGAUGCACACCCAGUUAGUUUCUUUUUGAGCUUUCAUAAACUUAUAGCUCUAGUGCAUCCGUUGCAUGACAAUCCCUACUCACUCACAUUGAUAUCUAUUGAUGGGCAUCUCCAUAGCCCGUUGAUAGGCCUAGUUGAUGUGAGACUAUCACCUUCUUUUUGUCUUCUCCACAACCACCAUAUUCUAUUCCACCUAUAGUGAUAUAUCCAUGGCCCACGCUCAUGUAUUGCGUGAAAGUUGAAAAAGUUUGAGAACAUCAAAAGUAUUAAACAAUUGCUUGGCUUGUCAUCGGGGUUGUGCAUGAUUUAAUACUUUGUGUGAUGAAGACGGAGAAUGGCCAGACCAUAUGAUUUUGUAGGGAUAAAUUUCUUUGGCAUGUUAUUUUGAGAAGACAUGAUUGCUUUAUUAGUAUGCUUGAAGUAUUAUUGUUUUUAUGUCAAUAUUAAACUUUUGUUUUGAAUCUUAUGGAUCUGAACAUUCAUGCCACAAUGAAAAAAUUACAUGGAUAAAUAUGUUAGGUAGCAUUCCACAUAAAAAAUUCUGUUUUUAUCAUUUACAUACUCGAGGACGAGCAGGAAUUAAGCUUGGGGAUGCUUGAUACGUCUCCAACGUAUCUAUAAUUUUUUAUUGUUCCAUGCUAUUAUAUUAUCUGUUUUGGAUGUUUCAUAUGCAUUAAUAUGCUAUUUUAUAUUUUUUUGGGACUAACUUAUUAACCUAGAGCCCAGUGCCAGUUUCUGUUUUUUCCUUGUUUUUGAGUUUCGCAGAAAAGGAAUAUCAAACGGAGUCCAAACGGAAUAAUUUUUCCUGACCUAGAUCUUCCUCCUAUAUAUUCACAUAUAUUCCCAAACCACCAGAGGCAUCCACGAAAACACUUUUCCACCGCCGCAACCUUCUGUUCCCAUGAGAUCCCAUCUUGGGGCCUUUUUGGGCAUCCUGCCGGAGGGGGAUUCGAUCACGGAGGGCUUCUACAUAAUUUCUAUUGCCCAUCCGAUGAAGCGUGAGUAGUUUACCUCAGACCUACGGUUCCAUAGCUAGUAGCUAGAUGGCUUCUUCUCUCUUUUUGAUUCUCAAUACCAUGUUCUCCUCGAUGUUCUUAAAGAUCUAUCCGAUGUAAUCUUCUUUUGCGGUGUGUUUGUCGAGAUCCGAUGAAUUGUGGAUUUAUGAUCAGCUUAUCUAUGAAUAUUAUUUGAAUCUUCUCUGAAUUCUUAUAUGCAUGAUUUGAUAUCUUUGUAUUUCUCUUUGAACUAUCGGUUUGGUUUGGCCAACUAGAUUGGUUUUUCUUGCAAUGGGAGAGGUGUGUAGCUUUGGGUUCAAUCUUGCGUGAUUUCACCUAGUGACAAAGUAGGGGUAGCAAGACACAUAUUGAAUUGUUGCCAUCGAGGAUAAAAAGAUGGGGUUUUCAUCAUAUUGCUUGAGUUUAUUCCUCUACACCAUGUCAUCUUACUUAAGGCGUUACUCCGUUCUUUAUGAACUUAAUAUUCUAGAUGCAUGCUGGAUAGCGGUCGAUGUGUGGAGUAAUAGUAGUAGAUGCAGGCAUGACUCGGUCUACUUGAGACGGACGUGAUGCCUAUGUGCAUAAUCAUUGCCUUGGAUAUCGUCAUAACUUUGCGCUUUUCUAUCAAUUGUUCCACAGUAAUUUAUUCACCCACCAUAUUAUUUGCCUUCAUGAUAGAAGCCUCUAGUGAAACCUAUGGCCCCCAGGUCUAUUUUACAUCAUAUUAGUUUCUGAUCUACUAUUUUGCAAUCUUUUAUUUUUAGAUCUAUAAACCAAAAAACCCAAAAAUAUUUAUUUUAUCUUUUGUUUAGUUUUAUCUAUCUCUAUCAGAUCUCACCUUUGCAAGUGACAGUGAAGGGAUUGACAACCCCUUUAUCGCGUUGGGUGCAAGUGUUUGAUUGUUUGUGCAUGUAUUGGUGAUUUGUGCGUUAUCUCCUACUGGAUUGAUACCUUGGUUCUCUAACUGAGGGAAAUACUUAUCUCUACUUUGCUACAUCACCCUUUCCUCUUCAAGGGAAAAACCAACGCAAGCUCAAAAAGUAGCGAAACCUCUGCCGGUAGUUCUCUAUUUAGCUUGUGUGGUGUCUGUUGAGAACCUUGUAGCCAUAGAUAAGUGUUCCCCUUGGGUGGAACUGCUUGGGAAGAAGCUAUGAAUUUAUCCCAUAAAUUCACAAUAUAAACAUCAAGUGAAAGAACUUAGCUGCUUGUGAAGCAACAUAGUGAUAAAUACGGAGAGCACCGAGUAGGAUUAAUACAACUGCUGCAUACCUGUAGGCCGCCUCUUUGGUUUCGCCAACCCGUAAAAGGAUCCUGCAUAAACACAUAAAAUAUUAUAAUUAGUAAAUCAAGUUAAUUUCGACUUCACUAAAUUAAAUAAGUUUUAAUAUUAAAUAUUUUAAAAUUUUUAAUUAACUUAGAUUUCAUACUAACUAUUUUUGUAUUUUGCAUAUUCAUAAAUUAAUUAAUAUAUUUGUGUGUUGGUAUCUCAGCCAAAGUUUUAAUCAUUGAAAGACUAAAGUAUUUGAAUUUAGAAGUUAGUUUAGGUAGAGUAAUUUCUAUUAGAAAAAUAUUAGCAUACAGUGCAGAAUAAAUCCUCUUGAAGAACAUGCGUGGCAUACUUCUCAUAGAUAACUAAAUUUAAUUGUUGGCCGCAUUCAUAACUUUUAUAUAUCUUGGGGGGAAAGUAAGAUAAUUUAGACCAGAAGUUUGAAAAUCUGCUAAGCGAACAUCAAAUGUUAGCAGAAAAAUACUUAGGUUUGAAUAAUAAAAUUGAUCCAGUUCUACAGAAAUUAGAAGAAUCAAAAGGACGAAAUCUUAUAGUUUGUAAGAAUAACGAUUAUAUUAAAGAAGAGGUUUUAUCCAUAGGAAAGAAUCUAAUUGGUGUCCUAAAUAAAAGCAAAGAUUCAUUAUCAGGUGCUGAAAUAAGACGCGAUAUACUUGAAGUUAAAAAGUUACAAGAAGUAAAGACUUAAGUAAUAUUAUAAUUGUAUGAGUGAAUAUAGCCAAGCACUAAAAAAGUAGAAAAUUACUUAACACCUCCUGUCGGAUUUUCAUAUCAUGAUUCACCGAAAGAAGACUCCAGAAUAAUUAUAAGGCGGAAUAACAUGAUUUGCUGCAUAAUCGUGUUGUUCUGCCUUAUAAUUAUUCUCGAGUCUUCUUUUGGUGAAUCAUGAUAUGAAAAUCCAACAGGAGGUGUUAAAUACUUUUCUACUUCUUUUAAUGCUUGAUUAUAUUCACUCGAACAACUAUGAUAUGACUAAAGUCUUUACUUCUUGUACUAGUUUUGUAACUUGAAGUAUAUCACGUCUUAUUUCAGCACCUCAUAAUGAAUCUUUACUUUUAUUCAGGACACCACUCAGAUUCUUUCCUAUGGAUAAAAUCUCUUCUUUAAUAUAAUCGUUAUUCUUACAAACUGUAAGGUUUAUUCCUUUCGAUUCUUCUAAUUUCUGUAGAACAAGAUCAAUUUUAUUAUUCAAACCUGCGUAUUUUUCAGCUAACUUUUGAUGUUCUCUUAGCAGACUUUCAAUUUUUGGUCUAAAUUAUCUUGCCUUUUCCCCCAAGAUAUACAAAAGUUAUGGAUGAGAUUAACAAUUAAUUCUAGUUAGUUGUGAGAAGUAUGCCAUGUAUGUUCUUGAGAAAGAUUUGUUCUGCACCGUAUGCUAAUAUUUUCUUUUACUAGAAAUAACUUUACCUGAACUAACCUCUAAGUUUAAAUACUUUAGUCUUUCAAUGAUUAAAAUGUUGGCUGAGCUAACAACACACAAAUAUAUUAAUUAAUUUAUCAAUAUGCAAAAUACGAAAUUAAUUAGUAUGAAAUCUAUGUUAAAUAAAAUUUCAAAAUUAUUUAAUAUUAAAAUUUAUUUAUUUUAGUGAAUUCGAAAUUAACUUAAUUUACUAAUUAUUUUAUUUUAUGUGUUUUUGCACGAUCUUUUACGGGUUGGCUUAACCAAAGUGGCGACCUAUAGGUAUGCAGCGUUGUGUUAAUCCUACUCGGUACUCUCCGUAUUUAUCACUAUGUUGCUUCAGAAGCAGCUAAGUUCUUCCACUUGAUGUAUAUAUUGCGAAUUUAUGUGAUAAAUUCCUAUCGUCUUCCCAGGCAAUUCCACCCGAAGGGAACACUUCUCUACAGCUACAAGGUUCUCCAUAGACGCCGCACAGGCUAGACAGAGAACUACCGACAGAGGUUUCUCCAAUAGGAUCCCUAGCGUAAGAACUCAUCUCAUAAAUUCAUAAUAGAAAGACUAAGUGAAACACGAAACUACUUCAUUUCGACAACAUAAUUUACGUACGGAUUUUCCUUUCGGGAGACCACGAAGGGAUUACAAAGAGGAAAGAAGACUACCUUCUGCCUACCUCCACCACGGGGAGAUACAAUGCCUCAAAGGAUUUAUUACAACUGGAACUAGCUACUACUACUUUGGCUAUCGAGGAGUGUGAGGGCUCUGGUGCUCGCAUGCUGCGAUGCUCUGGAGUCUGGUGUUGUGUGUGUGUUCGCAGCGCUCAGUCCUCCUCCUUUUUAUAGUCUGCGCGGGAUGCUAGAUGCUCCCUUCUUUAUUCAUCUGCGUCAUAGCUGGAGCCUGGAGUAUCCCGUAGCUUGACACGCCUUAUGUGCCGCUAAAGUGCCUCAAUGUUUACACAAUCAAGCCUUGUGUGACUCCGAUUCUAGACUGAUAUUUUUGUCCAGACUGAGAGCUUGUCUAGACUAAAAUUUUUGUCCAGACUAAGAAGUUUGUCCAGAUAGAAGACCUUGUCGUGGCUGAGAGACCGACUUCUCGUUGCAUGGUAAAAUAUUGUUAUGGCAUGGCUAGGUAUAAAACCAGCCCUAUAUAUUAACUAUGUUACUUGCAAGCAAAGCUAUUUGCACUGUUAUUUACACAAGCCAACCCACUUUGCGUGCAUUGUUGUGUGCGUAUUGGAGCCAUGCAUUCUUUAGUAGUCUUGACUCUUGUUGAUUGCCUUAUGCGUGCAUGCAUUCCAUGGCUGGCAAAUUUUUUGGGGUAUAGGUCUACCCAGCCCAUAUUAUUGAUAAUAUUUUAUCAAUAUUUCGAAUUCCACCAAUAUUCAAAUUUUAUCAAUACUCGGGUGUAGGUCCUCUGCGCCUGAAUAUAAGAUGUAUACUACCAAAAAUGUAACCCAUCUAUAUACAAUGUGUAUAAAAAUGUAAUGUAACCCAUAUUAAAAAUGUAAGAUGUAUACUACCAAAAAUGUACAAUGUGUAUAAAAACAAUAGACAUCGAAAUAUUUAUUUAAAAAGGUUAAUCUUGUAUUUAUAAAAAUAUUAAACACGUACAAAGAAGAAUUUAUUGACAUAUAGUACAAAAAUUUGGACAUGUGUUAAAGAAAAGAAAAGAAAAACAAAGAAAACCAAAGAGGAAAAGGACACAAGCAACCAGAAAAAAUAGUGCAAAAAAGAAAAACUAAGGAGAAACAGCAUGAAACUGAAAGAUAGAAAAAGGGAAUAAGAAAACUGGAGAAAAACAGUGCGAAAAAGAAAAUGCAAGGAAGAAACAACAGAAAUUGAUAAGAUAGAAAAUGGAAUCAAGAAAUCUGAGAAAAACCAGUGGAAAAAGGAUAAAAAACAAAGAAAACAAAAACGAAAUAAAAAGUUGAAGAAAAAAGAAUGAAAACCGAGAAAGAAAUGAUGAAAGCGGUGAAAAACGAAGAGAAGCAAAAAACCUAAGAAAAAGCAUUGAACAGGGAAAAGGAAACCAGAGAAAUUAAAUAAGAAAACGUAGAAAAUUAGAGCGAAGACAACCACCAUUGAGUGUCUCGAUCAAAGAAACAUCAGAGAACGAAAAAUAUAUAUAUGAAAAUGGGCCGGCAUAGUAGCUACUCAUGGACGAAAAGCUUUCAGGCGAUAUGGUGAACUCGUUUUAAGCGAGAUAUAGGUUUUGCUUCUCUUAUGCCAAUUCCUAUAUACCGCUUAACACGCCAGUUAAAGGCCUGUUGGUAUUUGGCGCUUAUGCGUGAUUUAGCUUUAUAUCUAACGAGCCGCACAAAACGAGCUUCUCCCCACCACCCUUUCUGGGAACUUUCUGGUUCUUUGUGUCAUCAGUUUUUUUUCUUCAUUUCUCUGGUUUUUUUUCGUUUUAUUUAAAUGCAUGAAAUUUUCAAAUUCAUUUUUUUAAAAUCACUAGCCUUUUAUCAAAUAUGUUAUAUUUUUUCAAAUUCAAAAGCUUUCAUUAAAAUUUUUGGUUCUUUUUCAAAUUCUCGGUUUUUUCUUGAAAUUGUGUGAAAUUUUUUGAAAUUUGUAAACCUUUUUUUAAUUUCGCAAAUUUUUAGACAAUGGCAAACUUUUACAAAAAGAUUUUGAACUUUUUUAUAUUUGUGAACUGUUUCCAAAACCAUAAGAUUUUUUAAAUUCACAAUCUUUUUUUAAUUUAUGAACCUUUUCAAAUAUGUGAACUAUUUUUCAAAGUUACAAAAAAACUGAGGUCCUGAGUUGUUUUCAAUUGUCAAUAGUCAAACGGUCCACCAAGCAAACCUAGUACUCGAGGAGACAAAUGUGACAACCAGGUAAACCUAGUGGGCCGUGGCCCACGUACCGAUCUAUGCGAGCAGCAACGCGAUUCAGGGCACAAGAAGCGAGGCAUAUGCAUUGUCCUCUCGUAUUCAUCACUCAGUCACCUAAAUGCGCACAUGGGCCGUCCAUGAAGGACACACUCACACUCGAGAAAAACAUCGUAGCACUAUUAAGAAAUAUCGGUAGCUCUAGCCACCAGGCUUUGAAAAAACAGGCUACUAGUAUUAAGGCAUCUCUAAUGCCAUGCAUCAAAAUUGGACACACAAUUGGUAGAAAAAUAUUUUGAAGUUUAAAGUUUCCACAAAAAAUAAAAAUAUUGUUGAACUUUUUUAUAUAAAAAGUCCUUUUUAAAAUGUUCAUGGAUUUUCAAAAAUAUCUAUGAACUUAAAAUAUAUUCAGGACUUUUAGAAAGGGAAAAUAGAAAGAAAGAACAAAACCAUUGCCAAAAAAAGAAAAAGAAAAAGGAUAAAAGCGAAAAGAAAACCCGAUGAAGAAACUAUAAAAGAGAAAAGAAGAGAGAGAAAACACGUCCUGAAAAAAAGAAGAAGAAAACAUGUCCUCCUAUAGGGCUCAUUGCGUCCGAUAGGUGGUGCGACCCAUUGGUGUAGCCCGAGUUGGCCGGCCCAUUGGAUGGUACUGUAGCAAGCCGUGUAAAAAUACACAAAAGGAGUGUACUAGCUAGGAAUCAAACUCGCAACCACACCCGCUCGUGAACGCAGGUAGCUAGCACCAGAGUUGGUGUGUGUUACUCCCCUCUGUCCCAUAUUAUAAGAGCGUUUUUUACAUUAGUGUAGUGUAAAAAAUGCUCUUAUAUUAUGGAGGGAGUUGUUUCUAGUAGGCUGAGUGCACAUUUUAGAAACAACUUUGCCUCAAAUUAUUUUAAGAACUAAUUUUAGCCGCAUAUCUGUAUAUAUUUUUCGAGCAUUUCUUGAAAUUUGAAACAAUCUCUUAAAGUUCUGAAGAUUUUGUGAGAGAUCCUGAUUUCUUUUGGAAUUCACAUUUGUUUUUAAAAAUGUGAACAAAUUUCCAAAAUUGGAAACAAAUUUUCAAUUUGUUAUCAAAAUUUGAGAAACAUGAAUAGUGUUUCAAAAUGUUUAACAAAUUUUCUAAAACAUGAACAUUUAUGAAACUGCUGAAUAUGUUUUGAAUUUGGACAAUUUGAAACACUGUAAUUUUGUUUAAAUCCCUUUUUUAAAACACAAAUAUUUUUUGGAAAAGCUCGAAUAUUUUUUGAAAUGGGAAUCCUUUUUUUGAAAAAGCUCGCGUCUGGGCUGACCCAUCUCGCUCUCCGUUCAGCAAGGGUUCCAAGAAAACCGGCCGAACUGUACUGUUCACUUGACUUGGGCCGGCCAUCUCGGAAAUUGCUGGAUAAUUCGUCGCAAUGAGCCCGUCUCGUCGUAGUGGAUCUGUUAAAUGUUUUGUUUUUGAUGCUCAAUUGCCCCCCAAAAAAAUCUGAUUCCAGAAAAAAUUAGGUUAGAAGUGGAAUUUCCUAUUGGACGCACUUUGCGUCAAACUGUCGAGGUUUCGCACAGGGGAGAUUGAGCUAUCGUUCGACUGGGCCGGCCCGUUUAAGCUUUCAUCGUCCCCGGUUUUGGGAACCUUCUAGAGGUUUCCAGACAUUUUUUUUCUGGUUUUGGAAACUUCUAGAAGGUUCAUGAAACGGUUUUUUUCCUUGUUCUGUUUUGUCAUUUUCUUUUUUUGCUGUUCUUUCUUAUUUCGUUGUUCUGUUUCCUUUUUUUUUGUUUUU